UUCCCUAAAUCUAGACUCAUAAAUAUUCUUACUAAUAUUUUCUCUAGAAUUUUUGGUUCAGCCAAUUAGUACAGUUUAUUAGUUAAAAUUUCCCCCGUUACACAGCUCAACUGAUCUGACCUCUGUUAACUACGAAUUGAAUUUCUCUUAGUACACAAUUCAAAUAACCAUGAAACCUAUUUCAUUUAAAACUAGACUCAAUAAGGAAUUUAGGAAUAUAAACUAUAUUUCUUAAUUUGUUUUGUAGAAUUUUUAAUGAUUUUUCAAAGUUGGAACAGGGGAUCAUAUAGUCAUUCUGCACAAGUCACACACAAUUGUAAAUAUCUCAAAAUAUAGAAUUCCUUUGCUUGCUCUGUUUCUUUUAUAUGAAAAUAGACUCAUUAAGAUUUAAUUUCACAUCUCAUUCAACCUCGAAUUAAAUUUCUUCUAUUUUUGAUGAUUUUUAAAAAUCACAUCACUGAUACUGUCCAAAACAGUUUUAAUGCUAAUUUCACUCUUUCACACAUUCUUUGUACUAACCUCAUUUUAACUUAUAUAUAUAUCACAAAUCAUUUUCACUACAUUUCACACAUCACAAGUAUAGGCCCAUAACUACAAUGUCACCACAAAGCCAUCCCGUUGAACAAUUUGGAUUAAUCCUCGAUACUUGACGGUUUCAGCACACAGCCCCACAAUCAUAUUUCAUUUAAUUCGGCUCUCUUGUACACAUGGUGAACACUUAGUACCACUCAUGCAACCUAGACGAUUUGUCUCGUAGCUCUCUUGUCUACAUGGUGUCCUUCACUUGGAAUCACGCAUGCGACCUAGCUACAUUUAUCUCUCACGUAGCUCUCUUGUCUACAUGGGAUACAUCCCGUAUCACACAUGUGACCUAGCUACUACAUAGUAUCUCGUAGCUUUCUUAUACACAUGAUGUGCACUCGGCACCAUACAUGUGACCUAGCUACGCCCCCUCUAUUUUAUUCGAUCUUUCCGAAUGUUCAACCGGGAUCUCUCUCUAUUACUUAUUUCCAUUCUUCCAAUAGUCGAUUUAUACUUCAACAUCAUCUAAUAUAUAUAAUAGGCUGAAAUAUAAGAAUGUAAAUGAAAUUAAUGUAUUAUUUACGUACAAACUUACCUCGGUGCAAAAUAUGGGAAUUUUGCAAUUUAGUCCAAAACUUUCUCCUUCCCCCGUUCGAGGUCGAUUCCACGCUUUUCUUGAUCUAUAACAACAUAUUUAGUUCAUUUAACAAUCGAACUAUUUAUUUUAAUUCAAAAAUCACAUUAUACAAAAAUUACAUUUUUGCCCCCUAACUUUUACAAAAUUAUGAUUUUUCCCCAAGGCUCAGAAAUUUAAUUUCAGCCCUUAUUCUUAUGUUUAAUGACCUACUGAUCAUUUUUCUCUUCUAUGGAAACAUCAAAUUCUCACUCUAACACAUAGUUAUGAAUAAUAGGUAUUUUUAUCGAUUAUGCUGUUUUGCUCGUUUUCGUUAAAAAUCGCUUAGAAAAGAUCGUUCUCCUAACUUCAAACAUUCAUAUUCUACCAUCAAACAACACAAUACAUGCCUAUCAUUCAUGGGUAAAUUUUUAAGCAUACACCCUAACUCGAAAUAAUGGUAGAAAUAAGUAAAUCGAGCUACGAAGAUUUCAAAAAUGUGAAGAACAUUAAAAACGGGGCUUGAAAUCACUUACUAUGAAGCUUGAAAAUUGAAGAAACCCUAGCUAUGGAGGAGAGAAAAUUUCGGCAGCAACUAGUGAAGAUGAUGACCAAUUUUGUGUUAUUUUUCCCAUUUUAUUUCAUUUAAUAUACAAAUUACCAAAAUGCCCUUACUACUAAACUUUCCACAAAUUCCCUCCAUGUCCAACUUUUGUCCAUAACUUAGGAAUGGGUCAAAUUGCUAUUUAAGACCUCCUAGUUAAUAUCCCAAAACAAUUUCAUACUAAAAACUUCUAAAACACAAGUUUUACAAUUUAUUCGAUUUAGUCCCUAAUCUCAACUUAAGCGCUCAAUGCAUAGAAUUUCAUCACGAAAUUUUCACGAAAUCAUGAAAUCAUAUCAUAAACCCCAAAAUAAUUAUAAAACAAUUAUUUCUAUCUCAGAUUUGUGGUCACGAAACCACUAUUCUGAUUAGGCCCUAAUUCGGGUUGUCACAAUUCUCCCCCCUUUAGAGAUUUUCGUCCCCAAAAAUCUUACCGGUAAAGAGGUUUGGGUACUGUUUCCUCAUAGCUUCCUCAGGUUCCCACGUAGCCUCUUCUAUCCCAUGUCUGUGCCACAAUACUUUCACUAAGGCUAUACUUUUAUUUCUUAACUGUUUAAUUUCUCGAGCCAAAAUCUUUAUUGGUUCCUCCUCAUAGGUCAUAUCCGGUCGAAUCUCAAUUUCUGUUGGAGAAAUCACAUGUGAAGGAUCAUAACGAUAACGUCGCAACAUUGAUACAUGAAACACGUUAUGAAUUCUUUCUAACUCUGUCGGUAAGGCCAACCGAUAUGCCACUGGCCCAAUCUUCUCACUACUUUAGCCAUUUACUUUUACUGCAAUUUAAAUUUUAUUCUAAUUUUUAUUACUAAUUCUUCUUUUUCCCUUUUUCUGACAGGUUCUUAUAGUUUAUGACUAGAAGAAACCCUUCAGGACCAUUACUUUUUGACAGUGAGAUCGAUCGCACAAUUCGCAGAAACCAAAGAGAAAUAAGGCAAAGCUUAAGAUACACAGAGAACGAGAAAGAGGACGAUAUUCAAACCACAACUAACGAGAUGGCUGAAAAUCAAGAAAACCUGAUACCUCCUGCGAUUGCUGUUAAUCUAAUAAAUCAGAAUCCUGCUUCGCGCACUAUGUAUGAUUAUGCUUAACCGUCUUUAACAGGAACUGAAUCGAGCAUAGUUAGGCCUGCUGUAGCUGCAAAUACUUUUGAACUGAAACUUAACACAAUUCAAAUGAUAUAGCAAUUUGUUUAGUUUGAUGGUUUACAGGACGAGGAUCCCAACGCUCACUUAGCAAACUUUUUAGAACUAUGUGAUACAUUUAAAAUUAAUGGCAUUUCUGAUGAUGCCAUUCGCCUUCGGUUAUUCCCUUUUUCAUUAAAAACAAAGCUAAACAGUGGUUGAAUUCUUUACUGCGGGGGUCAAUCACUACUUGGGAACAAAUGACUGAAAAGUUCUUAUUAAAAUAUUUUUCGCUGGCUAAAAUGGCUAAAUUACGUAAUUAUAUCUCUUCUUUUGUACAAAUGGAUUUAGAAACACUCUACGAUGCAUGGGAGAGAUAUAAGGACCUUUUGCUAAGAUGCCCUCACCAUGGGUUACCACUCUGGCUAUAGGUUCAAACUUUUCAUAAUGGCCUAAAUCCUUCGACUCGACAAAUGGUUGACGCAGCUGCUGGUGGAACCAUCAAUAAUAAAACAGCUGAUGAUGCCUAUGAAUUUAAUCCAAGGUAGCCUGCCAAGCAACACUGAAUCUAAUCCAAGGAAGCAACUCAACGCAAUUUCCAUUCAAGAUGAGGAAGGGCUAGUGGCAAAACCAAGGCCAGAACUAGUGGUAAGCGAAGGUAAGAAUGAGGUAGGCCAAAACGAACAAAAAUCGGUAAGUCCAGAAUAUAAACUCGUGUGCUAUACCCCAAUGCGACAAGGAAAGACCGCUCAGGUGAAAAUUUUGGUAAAUUCCUUAAACUUUUAAAGAAACUACAUAAUAACUUACCGUUUAUUGAAGCACUUUCACAGAUGCCAAACACAAUCAAAUUGUUAAAGGAGCUUCUGGCAAAUAAACGAAAGUUAGAUGAAAGGUCGCAUGUGGAGCUGAACGCUGUUUGCUCAUCCAUUCUUCAGAAUAAGCUACCCAACAAACUAAAAGAUCCAAGGAGUUUUACGAUUCCUUAUUUAGUUGGUAGUUUAGAUGUUAAUAAUGCGUUGGCUGAUCUAAGGGCUAGUAUCAAUGUUAUGCCUUACAAAUUGUUUAAGCAACUAGGUCUAGGGAAACCCAAACAAACUAGGAUGAGCAUUCAAUUAGCAGAUAAAACUGUCAGAUUUCCUAGGGGUAUUAUUGAAGACGUACUCGUUAAAAUUGACAAAUUUAUAUUCCCAUUUGAUUUUUUUUGUUUUAGACAUAGAAGAGGAUAGUAACGUUCCUUUAAUUUUGGGAAAGCCCUUUUUAGCAACUGUUAGAACAAUUAUUGACGUUGGCAUAGGUGAACUCACACUUCGUGUAGGAGACGAAACAAUCACCCUUCAAGCUCGCAACCCGAACAACACAUCAAAAAUUGAAGGUAAUUGUACAAAUUGUUCCAGUAAGACUGAUCAUAAGUUCGAAGGACACACAUGAGCCAUGUUCAAUCCACAACAAAGAAUCUACCCAUGAAGAACGAAGGUUACGAAUCAAGGAGUUAGAUGAAUGGCUAACAUUUAAACUGAGAAAACACGAUAAACUAAAACUACGUCAGAAUGAGUGCCUCACCAAAUUAACUUAAGGUUGGAGAUAAAGUUUCAUUAGAUGCCGCAGAUCCUCAUUGACACUGCCAAACCGAAUGAAGAAAUUCCUCUUACGGUACUUAGCAUUUUCCCAUUUGGUACAGUCGAGGUAAGUCAUCCCAAAUUCGGCACCUUCGGCACCUUUAAGGUAAACAAUACCCGCCUAAAACCUUAUUUUGAUGGGAUUCAUAGCAGGAAUGAGGAAUAUAAACUCCUCGAACCACCAUGACCAUUCACCAGAAAGGUAAGUCGAGCUUAGACUAUAAAUAAAUGCUUCUCGGGAGGUAACCUGAGCACUAAAAAUAUUAAUUUCUUUAAAUUUUAGUUUUAACAUCUAACAUACUAACCGACUCAUGGAACGUAGGCUUUCUAAAGCACACACGGCCAGGCACACGGGCGUGCCUUAGGCCGUGUGAAAAUAGGGUGAAAUUUUCCCCAACACGGGAUGUGAUAAGUCACCACGACGUGCAUUAGGACCGUGGGCGAAUCUGCCAAAACAAUGCGGGUGUGUGACACGCCAGUGUCAUAGAAACGUGGUUAAACCUGAGAAAAUAGCACGGGCAUUCGCCAUGCCCGUGUCUAAAACCCGUGGCCGAACUUUUCAAAUUAACAUCGGCGUGGGCCUACAUACACAGGCUUGGGAGAAGCGAUCGAAGACAGACACGGCCGUGUGCACCCACAUGCCCAAGGAACACGGGCAUGGGCCAAAUGUCAGACGCGCCCAAACUCAAAAUUCACGAAUCACACGGGCAAAAAUUGGGGAACACGGGCGUGUCCUCUGGCUGUGUGUCUCAAAAUCUAUAAAUACCCUUCACUAUUCAUCAUCUUCUUCACCCAAAAUCCCUAACCCUAGCCGCUGCAAGUCCACAUGGCCUCUCUGCCAUGGCCAUGCGCCGCAUCCAACUCCAUUUUCGACACCCAUUCUCAUCCUUUUAGCAUUAGUUUACUCUUUUCUCUCUAUUUCCUUCAUCCCUUUUAAUAAUUCUAUGAUUCUUAUGGUUUUAUUUGGCAUAUUUUUUAUUUUUUUUCAUAGUUCUCACUAUAGUCAUGCUUAUCGUUUAUUCUUUGCCAUUUUAGUCAAUGCUUUCUGAUACAUUCAUUCUUUUCGUGUGUUCCCAUAAGAGUCUAGUUCAGUCAUUUUAUUUUGAAAAUAAUCAUGCUUUUAUUAUGUCAAUUGCUAUAUAAACUUCUAUCAUUUAGAUUAAACUACUGAGUAUUAUUGGUUGGACUGGUUAGUUUAACUAUAUUCAUGAUUACUUCUUAAGUUAAUUAUUUAUGUUAUAUUCUUUGUUCUUCUUGCAGGUAUACCAUCACAAGCUCACGUGGUAAGAAAACUGUCAUUCCCGCUUCGAAAAAGUAGAAAGAGGCGUCUUCCUCAGGCCCUACCGCGGAAAUUCACCACCCAUACCUCCAAUUUCCACCCGACAAUUAGGAGGAACUAUUCCAAAUUCUACGGGCCCAACCUUUAGGUGUGGGCCACUGCAUUGACUGGACAGUGCUUGAACAAGUCCAGUUGGCUGACAAUGUACGAGCACUCCUGACAACCGACCCAUGAGACCUCUUCUUUGCGAUCAUCGAGCCGACGUACCUUAAGCUCACACUUGAACUUUGCUCGACAUUCCAUGUUCAAGACGUCAUGACCAACUUUGAUGAUCCUGGAAUAGUCUAGUUCCGUCUCUGCGGUUUAGUCCGCUAGUUGAAUGUGCCCGAGUUGGGUAUAGCUUUGGGCUUGUACACAGAAGAGUUUAUGGAUUAGAACGACCUUGACACUCUCUGUCGCCAUAUUCACUACUUUUCCUCGAAGUGCUGGUAUGCUUUGGUCCCCAGUUCAGCCACUUACUACCCAAGCCACUCCAAGGCAUCGGCUCUCUCUCCCUCCUUGCGGUACCUACAUGCCAUCUUGGCACACACUUUAACAGGACGUCAAGAGAGCACCGGUAUCGUCAACACUCACAAUGCUUACUUUCUAUGGAGCAUGGCGAAUGGGCAUGUACUCGACCUCGCCUAUUUUAUUACCCUCGCCAUUCGCCACCAGACGGAGCGACAUCGAAGGGGGGUCAUCUCGACUGGCCCCUACGUGACUCGACUGGCACGGCACUUCGGGCUCCUCAACACAGCAGGCCAAUCAUCCUCCCUUACUCUUAUUGGCCAGAUGUCCCCACAAGGCAUCUCGAGCAUGUUCAGUAUGAGGAUGAUCAAGAAGCCCCGAAUAACCCACCCUCCUUAGUAUCGCCUCUCCCAAUCAGUCGAGGAGGGAGACCUUGAGAAUAUUACUGAUGAUGUCCCUCCACGUCAUGAGGACCUACCGUCUCAGCCACCACCACCCUCUCAUCCAGUUCAUACGGCGACUUCGUACGCUGACAUCUCUGAGCGCCUUACCCGAUUGAAGCAACAGUGUUUUCAGUGGUUCGAUAAUAUUGACGCUACUUUACAGCAAAUUUUUCAACACUUCCAGAUCUCAUCGCCACCCCCACCUCGAUAAAUAUUUAUAAUGAAGAUCAAACCUAGACUAACUAUUAUCACGAUGAAAAAGCAAGUACACCUAUCGAACAAUAGUAUAGUAAUGGCAAGACCGGAUAUCGUACCUAAGGGAACCAAAAGUACUAGUAAUAACUAUCUUUUUAUUAUCUAACCUAGAAAUAAAGAGGGGUUGUUUAUUAAACUAAUUAACUAAACUAAUUAACUAAUUAAACUAAAGUAAAGAGAAGAGUUGGAAAAAGACUUGAAGAAAAUUAAUUUGAUAAAAACGACACCCAAGGAGGAAUCCACCUAGAUUUCACUUGUUAUCUGACUCUAAACCAGAAGAUUUAUUCACUUGACUUGAUCCGUGAGACUCCCUAACCUAUGUUAUUAUCUCUUUCGAGACUAAUAAUAUCUAACCCUCGGUUUAAUUAAUCAAAAUUUCAUUCUUAAUUAAAACCCUUAGGGAAGCAGUAAAUCGAUCUAUGGACUCCCAUAUUAGGUUUCACCCUAAUCUGGCAAAAUCUCGUAACCCUAUUUCUAGGCGUUCGAUCAACUCCGCUUAAUUAUGCCAAAUCUACUCUUAGACAGGGACUUUUGCUCCUCUGCAUAAGCACAUCAAAUCAUGAAUUAAUACCUGGAAUAUUAACUCAAGCAUUAAGACACAUAAUUAAGAACAAGUCAAGUAUUUAUCAUAUAGUUCAGAUAAUAAUAACAAGAUCCAUCAUAGGUUUCAACCCCCUUAGGUAUCUAAGGGGUUUAGUUCAUAAUAAGAUAAGAGUACAUCUCAAAAGUAUGAAAAUAACAAAACAUAAAGAAAGCUCUAAAACCCCUGAAGGAAUUUUGAGAGAGAUCUUCAGUCUUGAAGUAGCUCCGGCUUUUGGGGUGGAUCGUCUGGCUUCCUUCAAGUAAUUCCUAGCGUGUGGUUCUGUAUUCCAGAGAAGUUCUGGAAGAGGGCCCCUUUCUAAGUCAUACUUAGGGUGUUUAUAUAGGCUUUGGAUUGGCUUUCUUCCUCCCUAAGUAUCAUUUUUCGUGUAAAAUACAACUCUUUGAGAAAAGGGACACGCCCGUGUGCCACGGCCGUGUGACGUGAUUACCACGUCGUGUUUGAUCCAUUAAUUUUCACAUGACCGUGUGGGUCAAUGGCCAGGCCAUGCGAAUCGUGAAAGCCCUUGGCCGACACCCUCGAAAGACACGAGUAUGUGAGCAGUUCGUGUGGAAAGGCUUAGGCCGUGUCAUCUUCUCGAUUUGGUCUGUUUUGUCCCUUUUUUAGCUCAUUUUUGGCUCCUUUUGACUCUUGGUGCUCUCGUAAGUACAAAACAUGAAAUAACCGAACUAAGAGUUCCAAAAUCCAAAAAUCUAGUGAUAAACAUCCAUAAAUAUGCUAAGUAUUUGGGGUAAAAAUAUGUAUAAUUUGGCAUUUAUCAAAUACACCCACACUUAAGCAUUUGCUUGUCCUCAAGCAAAACUUUCAUUUAUUGCUAUAAUUCCUUCCUUUCAAUCACACAAUCAUUACUGAUAAUGUUACAAACUAUUCCAUGGAAAAUCAUACAGUGAGAAUUCAACCAUAGGGGCAUUAAAAGCCUCAAACAAUCUAAAUCGAAUAUUUUGAUAAUAAAAUUAUAGGUAAUCUCCUUCCUCUAAGUAAUUGGCUUUAGUCCUAAAUAUACAAAAGAUGACAUCCUCACUAGCGAUCCACUCAAAUCACUCAAAGUGUUUAAAGUUUAAGAUUAAGCACUCGGUUGUCUAACAUGAGAAGUUAUUACCAUAGGCUUGCAUGAAAAUCAAAUCUCCACCACUUGUAAAUGAUAUGAUACACAAAUCAAAAGGUCUUUGUAUAGUUGUAACAGGGUUUAAGGGACGGGUAUAGAUACAAACUGAAGAGACAAAGGUUAAAAUCGAGAUAAUUUCAAUAUAUUACCCCACUAUCAAAAACUUAAUUAUUGAAUCACAAACAAAUAUCUAGAACUAUAUUACAUGAGCUCAUGACAACUUUAGCUUGCUGAGGAUUACAAUAACAAUACUGAGAGUUUUUUUUUGGUUUCAAGAACAAAACAAGUCAAUACAAUAUAAAAAUCAUACUUCAUGAUUCAGUAACAAAAAAUGGUGAACAUAGUGAGGUAACAAUAUUAAAUUUAAUCUCGAUAAAAAAAGUAAAUUAAUUAAGAGGAUUUCAACAAUAAUGGGUUAAUGGGUUAAUGAUAAGGGUUAAUCAAUAAAAAAGUUUAGUAGGCUCAAAAGAGGUUCACUAAGGGUUUAAUUAUGUGGGAAGGCUUUUUAUGGAAUAAGUGGGUUAAAUCCUAAGUGCCUUUAUCAUCUCAGUAUAUCAAAUCAUACGUGUGAUCUCGACAUGUAUAAUUGAAGAAAGUUCUAGAAUAACAGUUCAAUGUUGACACACUCAAACCACAAAAUAAGUGAGCAAGAAAGAAAGCUUAUAUGCUCAAAAAGCUCAAAAAUCUCACGAAAAAUUUGGGUUUGUGAUGUCAUUCCUGUAUACUUAAGAUUUCAAGAUAAUACCUCAAUUUAGGAAAGUAGUCUAAAAAUUUUAGUUAUCAAAAUAUCAACUUAUCAUGCUCAAUUCUCUAAUGUCCUAUAAUCAAAUGAUCAUGCAUAAUUCCCAUGAUCUAAUUCAUGACAUAUCAACAAUAAUUAUAGAUCAAUCAGAAUUCAUUCGAUUAAGAUUAUGAGAAAAUCACUUAAGCACAAAACCAAAUUCAGGGAUUUGAGAAUAAUGCAAAAAGUUAGGUUUCAUGUUCAUGUUCACCCCCCACACUUAAGAUGUACAUUGCCCUCAAUGUACAAAGAUAGAUUAAUCAAAAUAAAGAAAGUCAUAAGAGGGAAAGAGGUGAAACUCCCUGUUAUAUGGAUGCAGAGGUUGAUUCUGAGGCUGGAGUGUUUGGGGAAAGUGGUAGCUGCCACUGUUCUUGGCUAGAUGAAGAAAUUGGGUCAUUGAACAUGGCACUCGUUGGGUAUUGUCCCUAUUUGUUUCCUCAGUUCGUAAAAUAUUCCUAGCAACUUUGCUUGGAAUUCUGUAGAAUCAUGAAGAGCUUAUUAAGAGUUGGUGUGGAAGAGAGCGUAGUAGGAUUACUUGUUAGAAAUACCAGAAAAAAAUGAAGAAAGUAAAAUUUACUAAUAUAGAUAUGUCUUUCAAAAGAAAAUAAUAAGAUUGAAAUGAAAAUAAAAAAAGAAAAAGAAAAAUAGAGAUAAAAAUAAAAAGAUAGAAGGAUUCAAUGAUCCUCAUCAGUGGGGCCCUCAGUUGGUGGCGCUGGAGUGGCAAUGUGAAAGUGCUGGCACAGCUACUGCAUCAUGGCUUGCAUGUCGUCCAUCUGUCUAUCACAUCGCCGAUCUCGCUCGUGAAUCAUCUCGAACUGUUACUGCUCAAAGUGAGCGAGUCGGUCAGAAAGGUGUGCCAAUGAAAAAGCCGCAUGAACUGGUCGUUCCCCAGAUAGCGUGAUAGGAGGCUCCUCGUGCUGUGGUGGGACAUCAUCAGGAAUGUCCUCAAGAUCCUCCUCAUCAAUGGCAUGAGUGAGACGGUACUGAAGAGGAUCGGUCCCACGUCGGCGCUCAAUCAUCCUUAUGUGUAACAUAGUAGUGAUGCCCUGUGGGGACAUCUGACCUAUCAGUGUAAACGCUGAUGACUGGACCACAGUGUUGAGGAGGCCGAAGUGUCUGGCAAGGUGCGUCACGUAGGGGCCGAUAGAGAUUACUCCCUUCCAAUGCCGCUCGGUCAGAUGGCGAAUGGCGAAAGUAAUGAAAUAUGCCAAGUCAGUCACAUGUGCAUUCGCCAUGCACAAUAAAUAGUAGGCGUCGUGGGUGGUGACAACGCCGAUGCUCUCUCUCCUUCUGGUCAAAGUGUGUACCAAUAUGGCAUGGAGAUAUCGUAGGGAAGGGGGAGAGCUGAGGCCUUCGAGCGGCUGCGGUCAUAAGUGGAAGAGAGUGGUGCCAAAACCUUCCAGCACAAGAAGGGAGAAAUAUGGAUAUUGCGUGGUAGUGCAUUCAUGUCCUCCUCCUCCAUAAACUCAUCAACGUAAAUUCCCAAAGCAACUCCAAACUCUGGGACACUCAUCGCGUGAACUAGACCGCCUAAUCGGAAGUGAAUGGUGCCGGGGUUAUCAUUGUUCGUCAUCACCACCUGUAAAUGAAAAGUAGAGCAUAAUUCUAAAGUUAGCUCUAAAUAAGUGGGCUUGAUAAUAGCGAAGAACCGUUCCUAUAGGUCUAUGGACAGGAGGGCGUGGAUGGCAACAGCUAGCUGGACUUACUCUACGGCAGCCCAGUGAUGCAGAGACCUGUAGAGAAGGGUCGUGCGCGUAGUAUCUGAAAUAGCUCCUCCUGCGAAGCUUGUGGAAAUUUAAGGAAUGGGUGCCGAAAUUCAACUGUAGCACGUACCGAGGAAUAACCCGAUCCCCUAUGUCUCUUUGAGGAUGGGACCGCGACCUUCUUACCUCUCGAUGAUGACAUAAGGUACCAGAAAAUGUAGGAGCAUUGAUAUAGUAGUUUCAAGAUGUGGUAACAUUUAUCGAUAUCAAGCGAGAGGUGAAAAUUUUAUAUGAUUAUUCAAAAACAUAUACUGAGAUAAAAAAUGCAUGAUCGGUUAAGCAAGAAUCCUAGAACUAGUAUAUGCUAUUUAGUAGCUUAAAAAAUUUAAAUAUAGAAAAUACUAAAGCAAAUUCUUAACUUAUUCAGAACAAAUUGGUAACAGAAACAAUAUCUUUGUAAGGCAUAUAGAACACUAAUGUAGUAACACAAAUUGGAAAAACAAGGUUGACAAAGUGAACCAAAAUUGCUGUAAGGCGGCGCACGAGUGUGUUGAUGGCGAGCACGGGCGUGGGGCGUGAGUGUACAGUCGUGUGGAGGAAAAAUAGAGGGAAAAGUGAGGAUUGAUGCAGGGGGAGUGGAUUUGAGGGUGGUUUGGGGGUUGGGGAAGUGAGAAUCUAGGGAAUGGUGGUCGGAAUAAGGAUUAGGGAGUGGAGAAGGAUAGAUUUCAACUGGGGUUUUGAAAGAAGGAAGAAGAUGAACAGUGGUUUGCUUAUAUAAGGGAGAGUCACAAGGCCUAGGGCCACACCCGUGUACUCUGAGGGUGAGCCCGUGUUUUUCAAAUUUUACGAUUUAGGUCGUGCCCAGCUACUAUCCCACGCAUGUGUGUCUUGGGCGUGUGUGGCACAUGGCCAUGUCGCACGCCCGUGCCUAGCUUUGUUACCAUACCCGUGUAUUGUUGUCCACAGCUUAAAGGCAUAGGCGUGCCUCACACCCGUGUCAAAGAAACAGAAUCGAGCCUUGCCCUUGGCACGUCCGUGUUGUUUCAUUCCCACGCCCGAGUUCACCUAUGAAGUUCAUCCACGGCCAUUUCGCACAGCUGUGGGGAGUUUUUGCAUCCCGUGUUUGGGGAAAUCAUGUCCUGCUUUCACACGGCCGUAUAGCACGGCCGUGUCUCUUCCCCUGUUUUCCACGGCUUUAGACACUCCCGUGUUCCUGGCCGUGUGUGCUGAAAAACUUUGCUAUUCAAAGAUAAAGUUAAUGAUUUAACUUGUUAGAAUUUAAAAAUAAAGAAAUCAAAAUAUGUUAGUGCUCGGGUUGCCUCCUAAGAAGUGCUUAUUUAUAGUCUAAGCUCGACUUACCUCUCUAGUGAAUGGUCAGGGUGGUUCGAGGAGUUUAUACUCCUCAUUCCUGCUAUCAACCUCAUCAAAAUAGGGUUUUAAUCGGGUGUUGUUUACCUGAAAAGUGCCAAACUUUCGGUGAUUCACCUCCACCGUAUGGAAUGGAAAUAUACUGAGUACCGUAAGAGGGAUUUCCUCAUGCGGUGUGGUAGUGACAAUGUGGGGAUCUGCGGCAUCUAGUAAGACUUUAUCGCCAACCUUAAGUUGAUUAGGAGAGGUAUUGGGCUUGUUUUGGCGUAGUUUCGAUUUAUCAUGUGUUCUCGAUUUGUGUGCUCACCAUUCAUCUAUCUCCUCUAUCCGUAGGCUUCGUUCUUCAUGAACGUAUCCUUUAUCAUUUCCAGAACAUGGCUCAUGAAUGUCUUUGAAGCUCAAUUUCUACAAAGUCAUAUUGUCAAUUUUAGUAUAUUGGUGUGGACUAUUACCUUCAAUGUUCGAUGUAAUGUCAGAAUUAUGAGCUUUAAAGGUGAUCGUUUCAUCUCCCACACAAAGUGUAAGUUCACCUGUGCCAACAUCAAUAAUUGUUUUAGCAAUUGCUAAAAAGGGCCUCCCUAAAAUCAAAGGGGUGUUAUUAUCCUCCUCUAUGUCUAGAACAAUGAAAUCAAUGAGGAAUAUGAACUUAUAUCCUUUCACGAGUACAUCUUUAAUAAUACCCCUAGGAAAUCUUAUAGUUUUAUUUGCCAAUUGAAUGCUCAUCCUAGUUUGUUUAGGUUUCCCAAGAGCAAGUUGUUUAAACAUUUUGUAAGGCGUGACGUUAAUACUAGUCCCUAAAUCAGCUAAUGCAUGACUUAUAUCUAAACUACCAAUUAAACAAGGAAUUGUAAAACUCCCUGGAUCUUUCAAUUUGUGGGGUAGCUUAUUCUGUAGAAUAGCUGAGCAGACUGCGUUUAGCUCCACAUGUGAUGCUUCGUCCAACUUUCGCUUAUUUACUAAAAGCUCUUUCAAAAAUUUCAUUGCAUUUGGCAUUUGCGAAAAAGCUUCAAUAAACGGUAAGUUAAUAUGUAAUUUUUUCAAAAGUUUGAGGAAUUUACCGAAUUGUUCGUCCUUGUCACGUUAGUGUAUGGCACACGAGGUUCAUAUUUGACAGUCACUGGUUUGUUUGUAUUUUGAUCUACCUCAUCUCUCCUUUUUCUUACCACUGUUUCUUGCCUUGGUUCUAUUUUAGGCUCCACGACUCCUUCGUUAUUCUGGAUAUUAAUUGCGUUGAGCUAUUCCUGUGGGUUGGGUUCAGUGUUACUUGGUAAGCUACCUUGUGGUCGUUCGGAGAUUAGUUUGGAUAGUUAGCCUAUCUAAGUUUUGAGCCCUUGGAUCGAUGCUUGUUGAUUCUUAAGUGUUGUCUCGGUAUUUUGGAAACGGGCGUCUGACACUGAUAUGAAUUUUGAGAGCAUCUCUUCAAGGUUCAGUUUCUUCUCUUGUUGAUAAGGUGGCUGUUGAAAACCCUGAGGAUUUUGUGGCUUUUGAUUUCCUUGACCACCCUAGGAGAAAUUUGGGUGGUUCCUCCAACCUACAUUAUAAGUAUUACAGUAUGGGUUAUUUUGCGAUCUGAAGUUAUUGUUACCCAUAUAGUUGACUUGUUCCUCUUCGGUUAUGAGAUUGAAGGAUUGAUAUUCUGUAUGCACACCUCCUCCACUUGAGUCACACCUCAUUACUGGAUGUACCUACGUAGAACUAAGAAAACCAUCAAUCUUUUUAUUGAGAAGUUCUACCUGAUUUGACAGCAUAACAAUUGAGUCGACGUUAAAAACACCGACUAUUUUCGUUGGCUUAGUCCUCAUGACUUGCCACUGAUAAUUAUUCAGUGACAUCUCCUCUAUAAACUCAUAGGCAUCUUCCAGUGUUUUAUUGUUGAUGGUUCCGCCAGCAGCUGCGUCAACCAUUUGCCAAGUCGAAGGAUUCAGACCAUUGUGAAAUGUUUGUACUUGCAGCCAAAGUGGUAACCUAUGAUGAGGGCACCUUCUCAGUAAGUCCUUGUAUCUCUCCCAUGCAUCGUAAAGUGUUUCUAAAUCCAUCUGCACAAAAGAAGAGAUAUCAUUACUAAUUUAGCCAUUUUAGCCGGCGGAAAAUAUUUUAGUAAAAAUUUCUCGGUCAUUUGUUCCCAAGUAGUAAUUGACCCUCGUGGUAACGAGUUCAACCACUGUUUAGCUUUGUUCCUCAAUGAAAAAGGUAAUAACCAAAGACGAAUGGCAUCAUCAGAGACGCCAUUGAUUUUGAAUGUAUCGCAAAAUUCCAGGAAAUUUGCUAAGUGAGCGUUGGGAUCUUCAUCCUACAGACCAUCAAACUGAAAAAACUGCUGUAUCAUCUGAAUAGUGUUAGAUUUUAAUUCAAAAUUAUUUGCAGCUACAGCAGGUCUAACUAUGCUAGAUUCAGUUCCUGUUAGAAAAGGUUUAGCAUAAUCAUACAUAGUACGUGGAGCAGGAUUUUGAUUAGCUGUAAUUGCAGGAGGUAGCUGAUUGUCUUGGCUUUCAGCCAUCUCUUCAGUUGGGGGUUGAGUAUUGUCUUUUUGCUCGUUCUCCGUGUAUCUUAAGCUGCGCCUUAUUUCUCUUUGAUUUCUACGAACUGUACGAUCGAUUUCUUCGUCAAAAAGUAAUGGUCCCGACAGGUUUCUUCUAGUCAUAAACUAUAAAAACCUGCCAAGAGAAAGAAAAACUAACUUAAUAAAUAAUAAUAAUAAAAUUAAAUUGCAAGAAAAAUAAAUGGCUAAAGUAAUAAAAAUUUAGCAUUCCUAAUAUUUUAGUUCCCUAGCAACGGCGCCAAAAACUUGACCGCGUGAUUCGUAACAAUUAAUAAAUAUUUAUAAUGAAGAUCAAACCUAGACUAAAUAUUAUCACGACGAAAAGGCAAGCGCACCCAUCGAACAAUAGUAUAGUAAUUGCAAGAUCGGGAUAUUGUACCCAAGGGAACCAAAAGUACUAGUAAUAACUAUCUUUUUAUUAUCUAACCUAGAAAUAAAGAGGGGUUGUUUAUUAAACUAAUUAACUAAACUAAUUAACUAAUUAAACUAAAGUAAAGAGAAGAGUUGGAAAAAGACUUGAAGAAAAUUAAUUUUAUAAAGACGACACCUAAGGAGGAAUCCACCUAGAUUUCACUUGUUAUCUGACUCUGAACCAGAUGAUUUAUUCACUUGACUAGAUCCGUGAGACUCCCUAACCUAUGUUAUUAUCCCUUUCGAGACUAAUAGCGUCUAACCCUCAGUUGAAUUAAUCGAAAUUUCUUUCUUAAUUAAAACCCUUAGGGAAGCAGUAAAUCGAUCUAUGAACUCUCAUAUUAGGUUUCAACCUAAUCCGGCAAAAUCUCGUACCCCUAUUUCUAGGCGUUCGAUCAACUCUGCUUAAUUAUGCCAAAUCUACUCUUAGACAGGGACUUUUGCUCCUCUACAUAAGCACAUCAAAUCAUGAAUUAAUACCCGAAAUAUUAACUCAAGCAUUAAGACACAUAAUUAAGAACAAAUCAAGUAUUUAUCAUACAGUUUAGAUAAUAAUACAAGAUCCAUCAUAGGUUUCGACACCCUUAGGUAUCUAAGGGGUUUAGUUCAUAAUAAGAUAAGAGUACAUCUUAAAAGUAUGAAAAUAACAAAACAUAAAGAAAACUCUAAAACCCUUGAAGGAAUUUUGACAGAGAUCUUCAGUCUUGGAGUAGCUCCGGCUUUUAGGAUGGAUCGUCUGGCUUCCUUCAAGUAAUUCCUGGCAUGUGGUUCUAUAUUCCAGAGAAGUUCUGGAAGAGGGCCCCUUUCUAAGUCAUCUUAGGGUGUUUAUAUAGGCUUUGGAUUGGCUUUCUUCCUCCCUAAGUAUCCUUUUCCGUGUAAAAUACAACUCUUUGAGAAAAGGGACACGCCCAUGUGCCACGGCCGUGUGACGUGAUUACCAAGCCGUGUGAAUCGUGAAAGCCCUUGGUCAACACCCUCGAAAGACACGGGCGUGUGAGCAACCCGUGUGGAAAGGCUUAGGCCUUGUCAUCUUCUCGAUUUGGUCCGUUUUGUCUGUAAUAUCCCGAAUUAGGGCCUAAUCAGAAUAGUGGUUUCGUGACCAUAAGUCCGAGAUAGAAAUAAUUAUUUUAUAAUUAUUUUGAGGUUUAUGAUAUGAUUGCAUGAUUGUGUGAAAGUUUCGUGAUGAAAUUCUAUGCCUAAAGUGCUUAAAUUAAAAGUAGGGACUAAAUCGAAUAAGUUGCAAAACUUGCAUUCUAGAAGUUUUUAGUAUGAAAUUGUUUUGGAAUAUUAAUGAGGAGGUCUUAAAUAGCAAUUUGACCAAUUUUAAGUUCAUGGACAAAAUUAGGACAUGGAAGGAAUUUUUGAAAAGUUUAGUAGUAAGGGUAUUUUGGUCAUUUAGUUAUUAAAAUGAAUUAAAAAAAAAUUAAAAGCCAAUUUUUGUCCAUCUUCUUCAUUAGGCCGAAAUUUCAAGGGUUCUCCAUAGCUAGGGUUUGUUUCAAGCUUCCAAGCUCCAUAGUAAGUGAUUCCAAGCCCCAUCUUUAAUGAUUUUUACGUUUUUGAGAUCCCGGUAACUCGAUAAAGCUUAUGUUAGCAAUAAUUUAACCUAGGGUUUAUAUUUGGAAAAAUAUCCAUAGGUGAAAUUUGUGUAUUUUGAUGUUUUAUGAUAGAAUAUGAAGUUUUAAAUUAUGUUAGACAACUUGUACUACUCGAUUUUAAGCAAAAACGAGUAAAAGGGCUUAAUCGGUAAAAAUACCUAAUAGUCACAAGUACAUGUUAGAGUGAGAAUUUGAUGUUUCCAUAGAAGAGAAAAGUGAUCAGCAUGUUGUAAAACAUAAGAAUAAGGAAUAAAGUUUAAUCCCGAGCCUAGGGGCAAAAAUGUAAAUAUGCAAAAGUUUUUGUAAUUUUGCCAAAAUUUGAGUUAAGGAUUAAUUUGAUAAUGUGAGUAUUAAAUAAGCUAAAUGUGUUAUUUUAGAUCAAGAAAGACGUGGAAUCGACCUCAAUCGAGGAAAAGAAAAGAUUGUGGACUAAAUUGCAAAAUCUUUGUAUUUUGGUACCAAGGUAAGUUCAUGUGUAAAUAAUGUAGCAUAAUGGUUAUUUUUAAGUUAUUGAUGUUAAUUAUAUGUUAUGCUGAAUUUUAUUAUGAAAUGUAUGCUUUGUGGUUAAUUUCAAAUAAUAUGUAAAUUAUGUGAACUACUUGUUAAAUAUAAUUGUUACCGAGUAUUGAUUUCGGCAUUCUACGGAAGACGGAAAGGAUAAGUGUUCGAGGAAAAAAGCCAGUUUGAACCUUAGGAAUAGAUUAGGACACAAGUGACAUGUCACUAGGAUGGUUGAGCAUCCGAACUCGUUGAGUUGAGUCCGAGUUCACUUAUGGAUGCGAAUGUCCGAACUCGUUGAGUUGAGUCCGAGUUCGUGAGAUGUAACUAGGCAUCCGAACUCGUUGAGUUGAGUCCGAGUUCACUUAUGGAUGUGAACGCCCGAGCUCGUUGAGUUGAGUCCGUGUUCGCUUAUGGGCGGGUUACAUGAUUGCUUGAUUGCAUAUAUGGCACUUAUGUGCAAGUUAUCCAUGUAUCCGAAUUAUAUUCCGAUGUGUUCAACGGGUAAAGUUCUACUGAAAUGGAGGAAUAUUCGAGAUGUAAGGAGACGUAUUGGUAAGUGAUGUGAAAUGGAUAUUUUGGACAGGUAUGUAUUUAACCCUCGGGUUGAGUAUUGAUACAACCACGAUAAGGUAAUAAGAUGAUGAAAAAUGAUUAAAAAUGUGAUAUGUGUUUUAGUGAUACAUGCUAAUGUUGAUUGGUAUGACUGUUUGUUAUGUUACUUAUUAUUUGCAUAUGAACUUACUAAGCAUUUAUGCUUACUCUCUCCUUCUUACUCAUUGUAGUUUUGGACAAGCCAGCUCAAGAGUCGGGAUAGGUCGAAGGCUCAGUCACACUAUCCGGAAGACUUUUGGUAAUGGCUUGUAAAUUUAAGUAUGGCAUGUAUAGCAAUAUACCUUUUUUGUGUAAAUGAUCUUAUGGUAUGGUGAUGGAAUGGUUGAGGAAAUGCUUGAUAAUGAUAAAUUAUGAAAAUAGUUAGUUUAGAUUAUAUUUGAUGUUAAGGAAAAUUAUUAAGAUACUUAGUGCAUAAAAACUCAUAUAAGGGAUGAAAUUUGCCAUAAACAGAAUACUGCAGCAACACUGAUGCGAGUUUAAAAAUAUACUAAAAAUCAGAGAAAUUGAACUUGGUGAUGUACUACAUAUCAAAUUGAAGCUUAUUAUGUCUAGUUUCACAUGAAACAAAUGAAACAGGUAAAGGAAUUAUAUGUUACAAGAUAUUUGAAUUUUAGUGAAACAGGGUCAUAGCAGUUUCUGAUUCCCCUAUUCCAACUUUAGAAAUUCACCAUAAAUUUUAAAGAUAUAAUUAGGUAGUGUAUUUUAUAUUCUCAGAAUCCUUAUUGAGUCUAGUUUCAGUAGAAACAAACCUCAUAGUCAUAUCGAUUUUUUACAGAGAUAAAUAUGGUUUGUAGUAAACAGAGGUCAGACCAGUCAAGUCCUGAAACAGGGGUAAUUUUAACUAAUAAAAUGUACUAAUUUACCCAACCAAAAAUUCUAUAAAAAAACUAGUAGAUAGGUAUAUGAGUCUAGAUUUAGGGAAAAUUUACGGAUCUUAAUUUCGAGUUUCAUAACUCGAGAUAUGAUUUUUCUUGUGACUGUGAUGCAAGUAGCUUAAAAGCUGUGAAUGUAGAAAUAAAUAAUCCAAAGUUCUAAAUAUGUUAAAUUAAGCUUAGUAACACCUCAUACUCGACUCCGGCGACAGUCUCGGGCGUGGGGGCGUUACAUUGUCCCUUUAUUUUAUGUUUUUAUUUUUAUUCUAUUUUAAGACUACUUUUUCUUUUUACUUUAAGCUUAUUUCUAUUAGAUUUUAUAAUUUUUAUUUUACAAUUAUCAAUUUCGGCUAUUCCAUUACAAGUAAUUAUGCUUCCUUAUAUUUCCUAAAAUAGUUCUUGAUUCUGUCACAGUUAUAAAGUGCACCUCAGCUCAUCAUCACAUAGGAACUAAAAACUCCACCAGGAAAGGUUCUCCAUGACUGCCAUGUCCUGCUUGACCACGACCAUAGCUACCACCAUAUAAAAUUCUUUUGGUGCAGGACUUAUGGACUAAUAAAACUCUACCACCACCGGAGAUUCCCCUCCACUCUCACGCCGAUUAUUCUCCAAAACUCCAGUUCAAGGAAUUCAUUCAUCAUUCAAGAAGUUUCACUUCCCUCCCUAUCUUAUGAUUAUAAAUCUAUCUUUUUCACUAUAUCUACCUUUGUACAUUGAGGGUAAUGUACAUCUUAAGUGUAGGGGGUCUUUUAUAUCAGAAAAAAUCCCUGAAUUUUGUUUUAUUCUCAUGCGAUCUUCUCAUAUCAUUAUUAGACUGAAUUCCAAUUAGUCUAUAAUUUUUAUUAAUAUAUAUUGAAUUAAAACAUAGGCAUUUAUGCAUUGAUUGUUUAAACUUUAAGACAUUAGGGAAUCAAACAUGAUAAGUUGUUUUGGAAGAAUUAAAAACUUUUAGGUUGUCUCCCCAAGUUUAGGUAUUAUUUUGAGUAGGAAUUUACAAGUUUAAACAUCAAAAAGUCAUAAUUUUUUGUGAGAUCUUGAGCCUUUAGAGCAUUUAUUAUUUCUUUCAUGCUCACUUUCAAUAUGAGUGCGCUAUUAUUGAAUUGUUAUUCUAGAACUUGCUUGAUUAUGCAUGUUAAGACCACACCAUUUGAUUUGAUAUGUCAAAAUGAUAAAGGCACUUAGGUUUAAACCACUCACUCCAUAAAAGCCUACCUUCACAAUUAACCCUUAGUGAACCUCCUUGAGCCUAACAACCCAUUCAUUGAUUUACCCUCAAUAUUAACUCAUAACUCAUUAUUGUUGAAAUCCCCUAAAUUAAUUUGAUCCCUAUUUUUGUCGAGAUUUGAGUUGGAAUAGUUGCUUAGCUAUGUUUUAUUCUAUUUUGUAAUUUGACUUGUUCUUAAAAUAUAUAUAAUACAUGUAUACAUAUUAGUAGUAGUGAUAUUCUAAGCUAAAGAAGUUAGAUUCCAUAUUCUGAGAAAAAGCUCUGUUGUACGUAAUUGAUGACUAGUCAUUUUUCUAGUUAGGAAAUUUUUCAAUUCAAUCUCGAUUCUAACCCUUUCUUUCAGUUUGUGACCACACCUUCUAACCAAAGCCACGUUACAACCCUCUAAAGACCUUUUGAUUGAUGUUUCAUCUCAAUUUAUAGUGGUGGAGAUUUGAUUUUCAUGCAAGCCUAUGGUAAUGACUUUUCAUUAUUGACUAUUGAGUGCUUCAUUUAUUGUCCUUAAACACCUCGAGUGAUUUGAGUGAAUCUUUAGUGAGGAUGUGAAACUCUGUGAUAUUUUGAAUCAAAGGUAAUUACUUAGAUAAGGGAAGACACCUAUGUUUUCAUGAUAAAAUGCUCAACUUGGAAGGUUUGAAACUUUGAUGUUCUGUCAGUUGAAUUUUCAAUGUAUGAUUACCUACAGAUUAGUUUGAGAUAUUAUUGAUGAGAAUUAUAAGUUGAGAAGAAUUUAUUUUGAUUAUAAGUUGAGGAUUUUUCUUGAGGACAAGCAAAUGCUUAAGUGUGGGGGUAUUUGAUAAACCGUAAUUCAUACAUAUUUCUAUCCCAUGCUUAGCACAUUUUAUGGAUGAUUUAUCCUUAAAUUUGGAGAAUUCGAUGCUCCUAAUGCCUUAAUUUCAUGUUUUAUACUUAGGUGAGGAUAAGAGAGUGAAAGGAACGAGAAACGGGCCAAAAACGGAGAAAAUAGGCCAACGUACGAAAUCAACACGGCCUGGACUUCCUAACACGGGCAGACCGCAUGGUCGUGUCAAUUUGGCAGAAUCGAAGCACGACUUACACAGGUAGACCACAUGCUCGUGCCUAUUUAACAGGCUUGACCAUAGCCUGAAGUAAUCGCACACGGGCGUGUCCCUGUCGAGCCCAAGCAGAGUCCUAUUCAGAAAAGGCCACUUUUGAGGGCUCUUAGGCAUUCCAAAGCCUAUAAAUACUCCCUAGAAGAGGAGAAGAGGGGGGACACAGAUUAGGAAGCAAGGAAUUACUCAAGAGAAGCCGAUUGAUCCAUCCCAAAAGCCAGAUUCAUCAUCAAGACUGGAGAUCUCCCUUCAAGUUCCUUCUGGAGUUUUGGGUUUUCUAAUGUUUUGUUAUCUUUAUAUUUUUAAGAUGUUUUCCUUCAUAAGUAUGAACUAAACCCCUAAAUACCUAAGGGGAAUGAAACCUAUGACAUAUCUUGUUAUUAUUAUCUGAGUUGGAUGAUAAAUAUUUGACUUGUUCUUAAUUAUGUGUUCUUAAUUCUUGUUUUGAUAUUCCAGGAUAUUGAUUCAAGUUAAGCUCUUAUUCAGAGGAGGAAUAGACCCUGUCUAAGAGUAAAUUUGUCAUAAUUAAGCGGAGUUGAUUACGCACCUAGAGAUAAGGUGACAAGAUUUUGUCGGAUUAGGGUAAAACCUAAUAAGGGAAUCCAUAGAUCGAGUUAAUGCAAUUCUGGGGUGUUAAUUAGAAAGAGAUUUCAAUUAUUCAACCUAGGGUUAGACGUUAUUAGUCUUAAGAGAGAUAAUGAUAUAACUUAGGGAUUUCUCCAGAUCAAGUCAAAUGAAUAAAUCGUUUGAUUUAGAGUCAAAUAACAAGUGAAGUCUAGGUGGAUUUGUCCUUAGGUAUUGUCUCAAUCAAUCGAAUUUUCCCAAAAAGUAUUUUCCCAAGUUUUUCUUUCUGUGCAUUCUUAGUUAGUAAUUAGUUUAGACAACCAAACCUCUUAAAUUUUAGGCUAGAUAAUAAAAAGAAAGUAAAUACUAGUACUCAUAGUUCCUUUGGGUUCAACAAUCCGGUCUUGCUGAACCAUAUUACUGUUCGAUAGGUACACUUGCCUUAAUCGUGAUACUAAGUUAGUCUCAAGAAAAUUUCAUUUAUAAAUCUUUAAAACCUGUUACAAAUAUCACGCAUCAAUGUUUAUGUGAUUUGGGCAUUGAGGCCCUGGGACAUGUUUGGAGAGAUAAGGAAAUGUGAUCUAAGCUCCAUUCAACGGGACAUGUUUGGUGUGUUGGAGAGUGUUAGUUUAAUUCUUCACUUACGAGACAUGCUUGACUCUAUGAGUCUACGUGGUGUGUUGGAGAUCCGUGUAUCCGAUGAGUGGUGGUAAUGCCCACUUUUACGUUUCAUAACUCAAAUGCCAAAUUAUCUCAAAUUAUCUAUUAAUGUGAUUGUGAAUUGUGACGUUUACAUGAAUAUGCAUGUACUGAUUCUGUAAAUAAACUAUCGAAUAUGCAUGUGAAGUAAAAUAUGUCAACUAAGUUAAGGUUGCUAUAAUUAUGAUAUGUUUCACUAAUGCUUGAUGAAAUGUUUGCAUGGUAGUUGUUUUAGGCAUUCACUGAGCUUGUUAAGCUCACCCACUCCUUUUAAAACCAUUGCAAAUUACUGUGUCCUAGUGUGAGCGGUGUGAUUUUGAGGGGUGAUUCCAAGCAAUUCCUUUUCUAUUAUUUCAUAGGUCUUAUUGUUAUUUGUUUUCAUUUCGAGAAUAAGGCAAUGUGGUAGACUUUUACUGAUAUUUGCCAUGAUGUUUUGGAUGUCUUCAUAGACUAUUUGUUCCUAGGUUUAUGAGAUUCAUUUCGUAUGAUGUUGAUUAUUUGUCAGACUUAUUUUGGAUGUUUGAGACUAUUAUAAUAGUCAUUUUGAUAUUUAUGUAAUGAUGAUAUGAUGGCAUGAAGGAUUGGUGCAUGUUGGAAUGAUUUAUAUGCUCAAGUAUGUUGUAUUUUUCUGGUUUGGAGCAGAGGUAUCGAUAUUCAUGUUGUAAAAAUAAUACCUCUGUGAUUUUGGAACAUGUAGGGAGGCAACAAUGUAAUUUGGUAUCGAUACCCAAUAAAAAGUAUCGAUGCUCAAGGUAGAAAUAUCAUUACUUUGGCCGAGGUACUGAUAAUUUUCGAGGUUUGGGUUUUUAAACGAGAAACAAUAAGCAGUUUUGGUUUUAAUUUUCCCAACAAUAUCAAUACCACUUGAGAGAAUUAUCGAUACCUCACCUUCAGUUUCGAUACCUACGUAGUUAGUUUUUGGAUUUUGCUAAAUGGACUUUAUGCAUAUUUAAUUAUUAUUAUUAUUAUUAUUAUUAUUAUAAGACUAUUUGAUGUAUGUUUAGCAUGUAACAAUGAUGUUAACAGUAUGACUGACUUAAAACCUAUACCAAUACUAAAAUGGAAGUCAUUUCAUUUAGAAUGAGCUUUUACUUAUUGUGUAUAACAUGAGACGGUGGUGUAGCAUCCUGAUAUUCAGGCUUGGAGACCAAGUUGGGUAUAGGGUGUUACACUUAAAAUUUCCAUCCCCCAAAUUUUCUUUGCUGCACCUAAAUCUUUCAUCUCGAACUUAGAGUUAAGCAUAGUUUUAAGACAACAAAUAUCAAAUGGAUUCUUAGCUGCAAUUAACAUAUCAUCAACAUAAAGUAAUAAAUAUAUAAAAGAAUCAUCAUCAAGACGUUGUAGAUAAACACAACUAUCAUACUUACUUCGGGAAAAACCAGUACUCAACAUGAAGGAGUCAAACUCUUUAUACCACUGUCGAGGAGAUUGCUUCAAACCAUACAAAGACUUUUGUAAAAGACAAACAUAAUAUUUUUUACCUUCAAAUUUGAAGCUUUCUGACUAUUGCAUGUAGAUGUCCUCCUCAAGGUCACUGUGAAGGAAAGUAGUCUUUACAUCUAACUGCUCUAACUCAAGAUUAUUUGAUGCAACAAAUUCCAAAAGCGCUCAAAUUGAUGUAUGUUUCACAAAAGGAGAGAAAACAUCAUGAAAAUCAAUUCCUUUCACUUGAUUGUAGCCCUUUUGCAACUAGUCUUACCUUGUACCUAGUGUUAUUAGGACCUGAACCUUCCUUCUUUUUAAACACCCAUUUGCAACCAAUGAUUCCUUUACUGAUGGGUGGUUUAACUAGCCUCUAAUUCUCAUUCUUUUGAAGUGAUUUCAUCUCUUCUUCCUUUGCAACGAACCAUUGGUUGGAGUCGAAGGCUUGAACUGCCUCAUAAUAACACGAAGGUUUGGUUGAAACAAUGCUCUCGGCAACACUUAGAGCAUAAGCCACUAGGUUUCCUUCACAAUAUUUUUGUGGUGGUCGGAUUUCUUGCCUUUUCCUUUCACGAGCCAACUUAUAAUUAGUUAACUGAUAUGGUGAGGGUACCUAAGGGUCGGAUGAAAACCAAAACAAAUCCAAAACAGCUUCAAACAAGCAAAAAUUAGAAUUUUUUUGUGUCGACGUGACAUUGUGAGACACUUUAUCGGGACAAGUGAUAAACUGUAAUUUAUACAUAUUUUUAUCCCAUGCUUAGCACAUUUAUGGAUGAUUUCUCCUUGGAUUUGGUGAAUUCGAUGCUCCUAAUUCUUUAAUUUCAUGUUUUAUACUUAGGUGAGUAUAGGAGAGUAAAAAGAGCGAGAAACGGGCUGAAAACAGAGAAAAUGAACCCACAUGGGAAAUCAACAUGGCUUGGACUUCCUCACACAGGCAUGUCACACGGCCGUGUCCAAUUGGCAAGAUCAAAGCAUGACUUACACGGGUAGACUACACGCCCAUGCCUACUCAACUGCCUUGACCACGGGUAGGAGCAAUCGCACACGAGCAUGUCCCUGCCAAGCCCGAGUAUAGUCCUAUUCGGAACAGGCCACUUUUGAGGGCUCUUAGGCAUUCUAAAGCCUAUUUAAACACCUGAGGAGGCACUUAGAAGAGACAUACGGAGUAGGAGACAAGGAAUUACUUAAGUGAAGCCGAUUGGUCCAUCUCAGAAGCCGAAUUUAUCAUCAAGAGUGAAGAUCUCCCUUUAAUUUCCAUUCAAGGGUUUGGGGUUUUCUUUAUGUUUUGUAUUCAUUAUUCUUCUGAGAUUUUUUCUUUUAUAAUUAUGAACUAAACCCUAAGAGGAAUGAAACCUAAGACAGAUCUUGUUAUUAUUAUCUGAAUUGUAUGAUAAAUAUUUGACUUGUUCUUAAUUAUGUGUUCUUAAUUCUUGUUUUAAUAUUCAAGGAUAUUGAUUCAAGUUAAUGCCCUUAUUCAGAAGAGCAAAAGUCUCUGUCUAAGAGUAAAUUUAUCAUAGUUAAGCGGAGUUGAUUGCAGCCUAGAGAUAGGGUGACAAGAUUUUGUCGGAUUAGGGUGAAACCUAAUAAAGGGGUCCAUAGAUCAAGUUAAUGCAACACUAGGGCGUUAAUUAGAAAGAGAUUUCAAUUAAUCAACGUAGAGUUAGACGUUAUUAGUCUCAAGAGAGAUAAUAAUAAAACUUAGGGAUUUCUACGGAUCAAGUCAAAUGAAUAAAUCGUCUGAUUCAGAGUCAAAUAACAAGUGAAGUCUAGGUGGAUUUUUCCUUGGGUAUUGUCUUAAUCAAUUGAGUUUUUCCAAAAGCUUUUUCCCAAUUUUCUCUCUGUGCACCCUUAGUUUAGUUAAGUAGUUUAGAUAAACAAAUCCUUUAAUUUUUAGGCUAGAAAAUAAAAAGAAAGUAAUUACUAGUACUCUUGGUUCCUUUGGGUUCAACAAUCUGGUCUUGCUAAAGCUAUACUACUGUUCGAUAGGUACACUUGCCUUCAUUGUGAUAAUAGUUAGUUUCAAGAACGAUUAAUUAUAAAUUUCUAAAACCUAUUACGAAUAUCACGUAUCAACAAGACCUCUAUUCGUCACGUCAUUGCGAUGUUAGGCAUUUGCUCGUUAUGUCGUCACCUUUUUAUUUCGGCUUUUGACUCCACCUUGCUCGAGACACUCUGAUUUGUUAUGUCUUUAAAAUUAAAAGUCUUAUUUUGUUAUCAAAGCAUAGUAGAUUUAUCAAACGUAACAUCUCUGCUAACAAUGAUCUUUUCAGAUUCUAAACAUCACAACUUAAAAACUUUUGUACUAGCAGCAUAUCCCAAAAAGAUGCUUUUAACGACCCUUGGUUCAAGCUUUCCCUAGCUACUUUAGCAUAAGUAGGACAACCAAAAAUUCUAAGAUUUGAUUAAUUUGGAGGAUUACCUAACCAUAUCUCCUUUGGAACUUUACCAUUCAAUGCUCAAUAAGGAGAUCGAUUUACCAAAUAACUUGUUAAGUUUACAGCUUCAGCCCAAAAUUCCUUCCCUAAGCAUGCGUUAGAAAGCAUGCAUCAAGCCUUUUCUAGCAAGGUUCUGUUCAUUCUUUUUGCAACUUCAUUCUAUUGUGGAAUUCUAACAAUGAUUCGAUGUCUUUCAAUUCCUUCCCGUUUGCAAAAUCACUAAACUCUGACAAAAAAAACUCAACACCAUUAUCUGUUCUCAACUUCUUCAUGGAUUUUCUGAUUUGUUUUUCUAAUAGUGUCUUCCACUGUUUGAAAAUUUCGAAGACUUGUUCUUUUCUAUUUCAAGAAAUAAACCCAAACUUUUCUGGAGUAAUCAUCAAUAAAAGUUAGGAAAUAUUUAUUAUCUCCUUUUGGGAUGUUAAAAGAUGGACCCCAAAAAUCAGAAUGAAUGUAAUAUAAAGUCCCUUUUGUUCUAUGCACUGCUAAAUCGAAACUAACUCGGGUUUGCGUAACACCCCGCACCUGUAUUCAUUGUCAGAAUAAGGUUGCAGAGCAUUGCCAAACUUCUUUCACAAAUAAACACACAUUUCUCAUACAUUUUUCCAUUAUAAAUAUAAAACAUUUACAAUCAUUUAUAACGCCCCUAAUAUGAGCCUACGAGGCCCAAAACAUGCUUUAGAAAUGGUUUGGGAAUAAACCGAUAACUUAGGAAACUUUUAGAAAACUUAGAAAGUUUUUCAAAAUACAGGGAACAUAGGCCUGUGUGGCCUGACCGUGUGUCUCACAAGGCCAAAUACACGCCCAUGUCACAAGCUCAGUGGACAUUCGAAAUGGGAUCACAUGGCCAUGUCUCAGCACAUGUCCGUCCCCGUGUAACUCCCUGACUUCGGUCACACGACCAACCACAUGCCCGUGUCACCAACCCGUGUGCCCUUCGGAAUGGCCUAACACACCCAUGUGCUAGGCCGUGUGCUAGGCCAUGCCAAACCUGUAGGGUAUUCUAACUAAUACUACACGGCCAAGUCACACGCCCGUGUGUUGGGCCGUGUGGAGCAUACUAACUUGGUUUCUAAUUAAACACCAGGGGACACACAGCCGUGUCACCUGACCAUGUGUCACACACAGCUGAGACACACACCCGUGUCUCUUCCCGUGUGGACAAAAAUAGGCUAUUUACCGAGCCAUUUUUUUCACCCAAUUUGUAAUCACCUACACUAAACCAAAGGCAUAUAAUAUGGUAUAAAUAAGCAUUCCAACCAAUCUCAACCAAGCCUAAUUCAUGCUAAAUCCAUACUAUCAACCAUAUGACUUACAAGUAUAACAAAUAGUCAUUCAAUUUCAUACCAAAUUCACACCAAAUUCACAUUCUCAAAUUGCCUAAAUGGUCACUUUCAUUUAUACAUCACUUUACCUAAAAUCACAAGCAUACUAAUUCUCAAUUAUCAACUAUUUGAUACUCAAAUUACCAAUUCAUAAAGAACCUUUCACCAUAAGCAUUUACAUGAUAAUUACCAAAUGCAUAACAAAGGCCAUUUGCACAUAUAUAUAUACACAACCAAAUCAACUAAAAUAAGCCAAAUCACAUGGCUAUACACAUAACAAACCAUUCAUCAUUUAUAAGCCAACUCAAAUGGCUAAACCUAUUACCAAACUAUAUACCAAAAUGACCAUAACUCCUAUACAUGCCAUAUAACCAAAUUACAUAAGUUCAAAAGUACCAAAGUAAUAGCUUGAUAGUGUGAUGAGAUCUCCGAUGACUCUUGAAUCCGAGCAAGCUUUGAUAAUCACUAUAAAACACGAAAAAGUAAAUAGAGUAAGCUACAAAGCUUAGUGAACUCGUAUGCUAAGUAAGUAAAACUUACCAACCAACAAUUCAAUAACAUAAACAUCAUAUAAUGCAAUUCAACUUUGAAGCAUAACUUAAUACAUAUAUUCAACCCAAGGAUUAAACACAAUUUCCAUCAACUUCUUCGAUUUUAUGAUUGUAUAGUUCACGUACAUACAUGUACAAGCUCUUAUUAAUCUCAUACUCGUCCAUAUCCUUGAUAUACCUAUUGAACCAUUUGGAAUACUAUCAGGUACCCGGGAAUCUCACACACUAAGUGCCAAUACAUAGCCGAAGCUAUCUCAAUCUCAUAUCACAUAUAAUGUUCACUCUCGAGCUAUCAACGGGUCUGCUCACACAAGUUGACGAUCAUGACAUAGCUACACGGUGCUGCUCACACAAGCUGACUAGAAUCCGCAACACAAGCCGAGUAACUCAGCCACCAGUAGGACGUACGGACUAGCACCCAAAUCACAUAACCCUUAAUGACAUGUCAUUUGUAUCCUAAUUUAUUCCUAAGGUUCAACUGGGAAUUCUCAUUACCGAAUCUUAGUCGAACAUUUUUGUACAAUCAUAUUCAUCAACAAUUCAAAUAUAAAAAAUUUAGAAACACAAUUAAAGUAAUGCUUCUUAACAUACAAACUUACCUCGAUUCACAAAAAUGACGGAAUGAAUCGAUUAAUCCAACACUUUGUUUUCCCUCAAAUCUAGAUCUGAACUUUAUUUUUCUUGAUUUAUAUAAUAUCAAAUUCAAUCUAUUCAUUAUUCAUUCUAUUCAAUUUAGCCCAAAAUGCAUAUUAUGGAAAAAUUACACUUUUGUCCCUAACAUUUCAAUAUAUUUACAAUUUAGUCCUUAGCUCAUAAAAAUAAAAAUUCAUGCAAUUAGGUCCCUACCCAUGCUAGCUGAAUUUCAUAUAGACCCAUAACAGCCCAUAUUUUUCAUUUAUUUCACAAUAUAAUCACAAAAUUUACACAUUUCACAAUCUAAUCCCUAAUUGGCAAUUUUACAAAAAAUCACUUUACAAAUGUUAUUUAUCUAACAACAACCAUUUAUUUUCUAUCAUCAAACAUCACAAGUCACACAUAUUCAUCAAUGGUAAAACCUUAAACCUUUCACAAUUUUGUAAAUUAGUCCCUAAGCUACCUAAAUUAAGCUGCAAUGAUCUCAAAACAUAGAAAUCAUUAAAAACGGGACAAAAAUCACUCACCAAUUUAACAAUAAAGUAGUCGAACCCUAGAAAGCUUCCAUGGAGGUCUCUCUCUUUUAUUUUUCGGUAGAAGAAGAUGACUAAAAGAUGGUAUCUUUGGUUUUCUUUAUUUUACUAAUUACUAAAUUACACUUUUAACCUUGGCUAUAAAACAUUAAAAUUACCUAAUACAUGUCCAAGUGUAACAUCUCGAAAUAGGGCCUAGUCGGAACAGUGGUUUCGAGACCAUAAAUCUGACAUUGAAAUAUUUUUUUAUGAUUAUUAUGAGGCCUGGAAUAUGAAAAUAUGCAUGUGUUGAAGUUUCAUGAAGAAAUUCUAUGAGUAAGGUGUCCAAUUGGAAAAUAAGGACCAAAUCGAAUAAUUUGUAAAACUUGGGUUCUAGAAACAAUUUGCAUGAAAUUGCUUUUAAUUAUAAAUUAAAAGGUCUUAAAUAGAAAUUUUCCCAAUUUCUAAGUUUUUGGACAAAAAUGGGCAUACAUGGAAAAUUUUGGAAGUUCAGUAAGGAAGGGCAUUUUGGUCAUUUGGUAAUAAAAUCAAUAAAAAGGGAAAAUGAAGGCAAAAAUCAGCCAUCUUCUCCCUUGUACCAGCCAAAAUUCUCAAGCCUUCCAUAGCUAGGGUUUUCAACAUUUUCAAGCUCAAUAGUAAGUGACUCCUAACCCCGUUUUUAAUGUUCUUUGUAUUGUUGAGAUCCUUGUAACAUGUUCUCUCCAUUUCCACCUAUAUUUUAAGCUAGGGUUCAUGUAUAAAAAGUGACCCAUGUGUGACAUGUUUGUUCUUUAAUGUUUUAUGGAGGAAUAUGAAAGUUAGAUGUGUGUUAAACAUCUUCUCCUAAGUGAUUUUCAUGAAAAGCCCCUAAAAGGAUGUUUUUGCAAAAGGUACAAAAUAUGUGGUAGAAAUGUGAAAUAGAGAAAAAUUUGGGCUAGUAUGAGUUUAUAAUGCAUUCGACUAGGCUUGGGUAACCAAAGAAUUGCAUGUAUAUCAUUUUACGAGCCUAGGGAUUAAAUCAUAAAUAAUGUGAAAGGUUAAGGGCAAAACAGUCAUUUUGUCUAGGGGUGAAAUUUAGGCUCAAAAAGAAUAAUGUGAGAUAUUGAUAAUUCAUUUUUAUUGUUAUAGACCCCAAGAAACAAAUUUUGGAGGUCGAUCAAGGAAAAUGAAAUGUUUCAGAAUAACCAAAAUGCGAAAUCGACACAAAUACCAGGUAAGUUCAAAUAACUUAAAGUAAACUCAUAAUAUGCCUAAAUGCAUGUUUUAUGAAUAUUAGAUAGUUUUAUAUAAUGAUGGCAUGAAAAUCCAUGAAAUGUGUUAAUAAUAAUGACAAGAUGAUAAAUGUCUCAGUUGAAGUUAAAAGGGAAAUUCGAUGGAAAAACCAUGGCUUACGUGACUUGAGAUCCUGCAUGUGUUGCAGAAAAGGGUUUAGCCCAGACGGGUAAUCCGUUGAUCUCAAAUAUAGAAAGGAUCUAGCCCGAACGGGUUUUCCUUGAAUGAUCAAGUCUCUUGAAGAAUAUGUGUGCAUUAAGGAUUUAGCUCAGACGGGUAAUCCGAUUAGGGUCUGAAUUUAGCCUGGACUGGUAAUUCAGACCUGAGCUCAUUAAGGUUGUUUGUCACUAUAAGGGAUUUAGCCUGGACUGGUAAUCCUGAAAACACUCCAUGAGUUUAUAUUACGGGGGAUUUAGCCUGGACUGGUAAUCCCGCUGUAAGAUAUGAGGUUCGUAGGAGUGCGUACUUAAGAAGAUCACUCUUAUGACUUGACGGUAAAUGGAUAAUCCAUCAAGAUUUUCGAGGUACUCAAUGGGAUUAACAUGAGAUAUCGAAAUGAAAAUAUUGGAUGAUGAGCUCAUCUAAGACAAAUUACAUUAUGAAUUAUUAUGGGACUAACUUGAUGCUUGAGUGUAUGUAAUAGGAGGCUAUCCUAUAUUUAUUGGAUUGGUUGCCUAACAUGGUUGUAUGCUAAUUAAUCGGUAAGUUUACUUUCCAAUUAUUCGGGCUUACUAAGCAUGUAAAUGCUUACCCCUCUCUUUUCCCUGUCUUAUAGAGCUCGAGGACUCGUAGAGAUUGGAAGACGGUUGGAGUAUUGUUGACACUAUCCACUUCUCCUGUUUUGGUAUAUAGAUACUUUUAUUUUGUUACAAUGGCAUGUAUAGAUUUUUGGUUAUUUGGUGUUAUAUGUCAUUGGUUGGCCAAUGUAAAGGCUUAAAUGUUAAACUUAUUCUUUUUGUAUAUGGCCAUAAGACAUGGCUCAUUUCAUUGUAGAUUAUGACCUACCAACCAUGCAUGUUUAUGUUAGAAAUGUUUUUGUGAUGAUUAAAUGUUGUAUAUCAUAAAUAAGCAUUCGUAAGGUGGCCAAAACAUUUGGAAAUGGUUAGGCCAUAAUUGGAAAUGAAUUGUAAUAAUGAUCCAAGCCUAAAAUAUGUUUCAAUAGGAUGGAAAUCCUUAUUAUGAAAAGGGGAUAAUUGAGUAUGUAUUUAACUGAUGAGAUGAGGUUGACAUGCAAUGGAUUCAUUGAUGAUAGUCCUUGAGUAUAUUUAAGUCAUGUUAAAUGCAAUUGGGGUUUUUAUAUGUGAGGAAAUGAUGAGGGUGACCAUUGGCUUGAAAUUAUAGCCUAAAAAGGGUCCACACGGGUAGACACACAAGUGUGUGUCUAGGCCGUGCGUGACACACGGUCAGCCCCAUGGGUGUGUGGUACGGUCGUGUGUCCCCUGCACCUAAAGUUUUUUCAGUCAAAAUGCAUGGUAGUAAACACACAGAAAGAGACAUAGUCGUGUGUCUCAGCCGUGUAGAGGGCACGGCCUAGCACACGGGCAUGUGUCUUGGCCGUGUGCCCCUAAAUACAUGCUGACAUCAUAAACAGAAUGUCCAGGUUUUUGGACAUGAGCUAUCACACAGGCGUGGCUAGGCCAUGUGAAAAACACGGGCCAGGGACACGGGCGUGUGCUUGGCCAUGUGAAAACCCUAUAGGUUCAAAAUAAAAAAUAAAUUUAAUUAAUUCCACACGAGUUAGGGACAUAGGUGUGUCCCCAAAGCACACGGGCGUGUGCAUUGUCUCCACACUGGUGUGUGAGGCUUAACCUAGAAAAUUUUCCUAAAAUUUUCUUAGGUUCUCGGUUUAGUCCCGGACCAUUCUCAAUGUAUGUUUUGGAUCUCGUAGGCCCAUAAUAGUGAUACUAAGAUGUUGUUUAAUUGGUUUUAAUUUGGAACAAAAUUUUUUAACCCGUAUUUUUCGAAAAUGUCUAAGUAUGUAUCUCGUAACGCCUUGUACUUGGUCUCGGUCUCAGGUACGGGUAAGGGAUGUUACACCGAGAAUGUCCACUAACUUUAUAAAUGGGCUAAUUACCACAUAAGGACCUCCACUUUCAGGUUCCAUAGCUAUAGAUACCUUUAGCUAAUAGAAUUCAAGUUUUACACUUUAUGCGAUUUAGUCCUUUUUAUCAAAUUGAACAUUCAAACUAUAAAAUUUCUUAAAGAAAUUUUCACACAAUCAUACUAUCGUACUGUAGACAUUAAAAUACUAAUAAAAUAAUUAUUUUGACCUCAGAUUUUUGGUCCCGAAACCACUGUUCCAAUUUGACUAAAAAUGGGUUGUUAUAGUUUGUUUCCCAAAAAUGUAAUGCUCGUAAAAACCUAAUUUGUAACGCCCCUCACCCAUAUCGACGCCAAAAUAGGUUCAAGCCGUUACCUGAGAUUCUCAUUCGUAAACAUAUUAAAUCAAGUCACUAAGUUGCGCUGUAAUUUAGAACUUUUCAAAUAUGUAUAUCCUUUCCCUUAAACAGGCCUUCGAGACCUAAAACAUGCCUAGAGGCGGUGCGGGACAAAACCAAGAACGUUUGAUAAACAUGGAGCACAUUGGAAAUUUUCUUUUAACUUGAAGUGUCACACGCCCGUGUGACUUGGGACAUGCCCGUGCAAUCACCCUGUGUCCAAGACUUGAACAUUCUAUUAAAUUCACACGGCCAAGACACACGCCCGUGUGUCUAGCCCGUGUUCAUUUAACAGACCUACCAUUUUAGAUGAAAUGGACACACGAUCAUGCCAUACACCCACGAGUGUGUCCCGUGUGUCACACAUAGCCUAGGCACAUGCCCGUGUACCCAACCGUGUCAACCCUAUUAGGCUAUUUUCGAAGCCUAUGGUCACCCCCUUUUAACACUUAUACUUAAUGAAUAUUAAAAACGAAGUAAAACAAGAUUAUGUUCUCAUAAAUGAUCUUUGCAAAAAACUUAUUGCAUGGAAACCUCAUAUCAUUGGUUUCGUACAUGCUAGGUUAUUUCCCAUCUUGUAUUUAUGUGUUGUCAUACCACUUUAACACAUUCAAGAUUGGCUCGUUCUUAUGACUCAUUGCUAAUUGGAAUUCAACCCUCGCACAUGAUUCUAAACUUGAAUGGAAAUUUUGUAGGUCAUAGCCUAUUUCAAAAUAAGCCAAUCUCCAUGGCGACAUACAAAAAGAUAGAAUUCUCUUUCAUGCCUUCAUUUGGUAAAUUAAAUGGCACAUAUAACAAAUUACUCAAAAGACCUAUACAUGCCAUUGAACAAAUCAAAAAUGUCUUUAUACCAAAGCUGAGCUAUUUGAUAGUAUGCUAACUCUCUAACCCUCUUCCAAUCUUUACAAGUCCUCGAGCUCUGGGAGAAACAGGGAAAAGAGAGGGGUAAGCAUUUUCAUGCUUAGUAAGCUCGAAUAACCAGACAGUAAACUUACCAAGUAAUUAGCAUGCAAUCAAGUUGGUUAAUAAAUUCAAUGAGCAUAGGAUGGCUUCCCUAUCACAUACACUCAAUCAUUGAGUUAGUCACAUAACAAUGCACUAUGAAAGAUAUCUUAGAUGAGCUCAUCAUUCAACAUCUCAUUUAGUAAAUAUAAGUCAUGUUAAUCUUGUUGAGUUUCUAGGAAGUUUCAAUGAUAUACCCAUUAACUGUCAAUUCGUAUGAAUGAUCAUUUCCAGUAUGCACUCCCGCGAACCUCACAUCUCAUGGCGGGAUUACCAGUCCAAGCUAAAUACCCCAUUUUAUGAACUCAUAAGUUGAUGUCGGGAUUACUAGUCCAAGCUAAAUCCCUUAUAACGAAAAACACUUUUAUUGAGCUCGGAUCUAAAUUACCAGUCCAGGCUAAAUUCAGAUCCUAAUCGGAUUACCCGUCUGGGCUAAAUCAAUAAUGCACACAUAUUCUUCGGGAGGCUCGACUAUUCAAAAGAACACCCGUCUGAGCUAGAUCGUUUUAUAAAUGAGAUCAACGGAUUACCCGUCUGGGCUAAAUCCUUUCUGCAACACAUGCAGGACCUCAUUACACAUGUCAAUCAUGGUUUAUCUUUCGAAUUCCCUUUUUAACCUCAACUGAGACAUUUAUCACAAUUCAUACUUAAACAUGCAUUUCAUAAAAUUUCAUGUUAUUAAUAAAUGCAAUCACCAUGUAUUCAUAAAUCAUAUAAUUAGGCACAUUGAGUGUUUACUUUAAGUUAUCCGAACUUACCUGGUAUUUGUUUCGGUGUCAUGUUUCGUUUAUUCUGAAACCUUUUGUUUUUCUCGAUUGACCUCCGAAAUUUGUUCCUCGAGGUCUAUAACAAUAAAAAUAGAUCAUUAACACUCCACAUUAUACAUUUCAAGUCUAAAUUCCACCCUCGGUCCAAAUGACCAUUUUGCCCCUAACCUUUCACAUUUUUACGAUUUAGUCCCUAGGCUCGUAUGAUGAAACACACGCAAUUUAUACUUUACUCAAGCCUAGCCAAACACUUUUCCCUCUUAUGGUAGCCUACAUUUUCCAUUAUUUUCACAUUCCUACCACACAUUUUACAACUUUUGCAAAAAGGUCCCUUUAGGGGUUUUUCAUGAAAAUCACCUAGGAAAAGUUGUUUAACACACAUCAAACUUUCAUAUUCCUCCAUAAAACAUCAAAAUACAAUUAACUCAUGCAUGGGUAAAUUUUUAAACAUGAACCCUAGCAUGAAAUAUUGGUAGAAAUGGAGAUAGUAAGCUACCGGGAUCUCAAAAUUACGAAGAACAUUAAAAACGGGGCUUGGGAGCACUUACUAAUGAGCUUGAAAAUCUUGGAAACCUUAGCUAUGGUGGCUUAUGAAUUUCAGCUGGACAAGGGAGAAGAAUGGCUGAUUUUUGCCUUCUUUUUCCCAUUUUAUUUCAUUAAUAUGCCACAUGACCAAAAUGCCCUUACGCCAUUUCUUUGAAAUUUCAUCCAUCCAAGCCCAUUUUUUUCCAAAAACAUAGAAAUUGGGAAAGUUGCUCCCCAAGACCUUCUAUUUUAUAAUCUAAAUCAAUUUCAUACAAAUUGCUUCUAGAAUCCAAGUUUUGUAAUUUAUUCAAUUUAGUCCCUAAUUUUCCAAUUGGGCACUUACUCAAAGAAUUCCUUCAUGAAACUUUAACACAUGCGUAUUCUCAUAUUGUAAGCCUUGUAAUAAUCAUAAAAUAAAUAUUUUGAUGUCUGAUUUGUGGUCCCGAAACCACUAUUCCAACUAGGCCCUAUUUUGGGAUGUUACAUUUCUCCCCCCAAGGACUUUCGUCCUCGAAAGUCUUACCAGUGAACUGAUUCGGAUAUUGGCUUCUCAUGGAUUCUUCUGGUUCCCAUGUAGCCUCUUCUACACCAUGUCGAUGCCAUAAAACUUUUACUAAGGCCACAUAUUUAUUCCUCGGCUGUUUAACCUCACGAGCCAAUAUCUUAACUGGUUCCUCUUCAUAGGUCAUGUCUAGUCGAAUUUCAAUCUCAGUCAGUGAAAUCACGUGAGAGGGGUCUGAUCAGUAUCGCCUUAACAUAAAUACAUAGAACACAUCGUGAAUCUUUUCCAAUUCAGGUGGAAAUGCCAAGUGAUAGGCUACCGGUCCAACUCUUUCAAUGAUCUCAUACGGUCCGACAAAUCGCGGAUCCAGUUUGCCUUUUGGGGCAAAUCUCAACACCUUUUUUCCAUGGAGAUACUUCCAAGAAUACUCUAUCUCCAACUUGAAACUCAAUUUCCUUUCUUUUCAAAUCAACAUAUGAUUUUGCCUAUCCGAUGCCGCUUUCAAACAGUCUCGUAUCACUUUAAAUUUCUCUUCAGUUUCUUUAAUCAAAUCAACUCUGUGAAUCUGAUUUUCCUUAAGUUAUGUCCAGUACAAUGGAGUUCAGCACUUCCUGCCAUACAAGGCCUCAUAAGGUGCCAUCUUCAAACUCGUCUGAAAACUAUUGUUGUAGGCGAAUUAUACUAGUGGCAAAUAUUUUUCCCAACUACCCUGAAAUUCAAGGACGCAACAUCGCAACAUAUCCUCAAGAAUCUGAAUCAUCUGCUCAGACUAACCAUCUGUCUAAAGGUGAAAAGCUGCACUAAAGCUUAACUUCAUACCCAAGGCUUCUUGUAAUUUCUUCAAGAAUCUCGAAGUGAACCUCGGGUCUCAGUCGGAAAUAAUUAAUAGUUGUACCCCAUGAAAUCUUACAAUCUCAGAAAUGUAUAAGUCGGCAAAUCUAUCGAGGGAAUAAUAUGUCCUCAACAGAAUAAAAUAAGCCAACUUCGUCAACUUAUCUACUAUGACCCAUACGGCAUUUUUCUUCUUCGAAGUCAAUGGUAAUCCUGUCAUGAAAUCCAUAGUAACUCUAUCCCACUUCCAUUCGGGGACAAUCACAGGCUGUAGAAAACCUGAAGGCACUUGAUGUUCAACUUUAACUUGCUGACAUACCAGGCAUUUCGACACAAAUUUAGAAAUCUCUCUUUUCAUGCCGUUCCACUAGUAUGUUUUCUUCAAAUCAUUGUACAUCUUGGUACUUUUCGGGUGAAUUGACAAACGGCUGUUAUGUGCUUCUUGCAAAAUUUUCCGAAUAAGUUAAUUGUUUUUGGGUACACAAAUCGUAUCUCUGAACAUCAAACAUCCAUCAGAAACAAUCCAAAAAUUUGAUUCAAUACCUCACUCACAUUGAGUUUGUUUAGCUUGAAAGCUAUCAUCAUUAGUUUGAGCAUCAUAGAUUUCAUGAAGGAAUGUCGGCCUAGCCUUUAGCUCAGCCAAGACUGAACCAUCAUCAAGCAAUGCCAAACGAGCAUCCAUAGCCCUUAAUGCAAACAAGGAUUUUCUGUUCGACACGUCAGCGAUCACAUUCGCCUUUCCCAGGUGAUAAUCAAUAAUUAGUUCGUAAUCCUUGAUUAACUCUAGCCACCUCUGCUGCCUCAAAUUUAAUUCUUUUUGAGUUAUCAAAUACUUCAAACUCUUGUGGUUAGUGAAUAUGUGGCAAGUCUCACAAUAUAAAUAAUGUCUACAAAUUUUCAAAGCAAAAACGAUGGCGGCAAGUUUUAGGUCGUGUGUAAGAUAGUUCUUCUCAUGCGGCUUCAACUAUCGUGAAGCAUAGGCUAUUACUUUGCCAUCUUGCAUAAGUACACAACCCAGUCUAUUUGAGGAUGCGUCACUGUAGACUACAAAUUAUUUUCCCGACUCAGGUAAUACUAAAACAGGAGCUUCAGUUGACAGUGUUUUUAACUUCUAAAAACUUUGUUGACACUUUUCCGUCCAUUCAAACUUAAUGUUUUUCUGUAACAAUCUCAUCAUUGGAGUUGCUAUCAUGGAGAAUCCUUUCACAAAUCUUCGAUAGCAACCAGCUAAGCCCAAAAAGCUUCUAACCUCAGUUACAUUUUUAGGUGGUUUCCAUUCAAUAAUAGCAGAGAUCUUACUUGGAUCGACUAGGAUGCCUUCACCAAAAACAAUAUGACCUAAAAAUCCAACUUCCUAAAGCCAAAACUCACUCUUGCUAAACUUAGCAUACAGCUGCUUUUCCCGCAAAGUCUGCAACACAAUUCUCAAGUGCUUCGCGUGCUCUGUCUUAUCUUUGGAAUAAAUCAAUAUGUCGUCAAUGAACACAACGACAAACUUGAUCAAAUAUGGCUGUAAGAUCCUAUUCAUUAGGUCUAUAAAUACAGCUGGUGCAUUCAUCAGCCCAAAUGGCAUGACAAGAAAUUCAUAAUCGCCAUACCUUAUCCUAAAGGCUGUCUUAGGUACAUCCAAUUCUUUAACUCGCAACUGGUAAUAGCCAGACCCUAAGUCUAUCUUAGAGAACACGGUGGCUCCUUUCAACUGGUCAAACAAAUCAUCAAUCCUUGGUAAAGGAUACUUAUUCUUGAUAGUUACCUUGUUCAGUUGGCUGUAAUUUAUACAUAACCUCAUCGAACUAUCCUUCUUCCUUACAAAUAGAACGGGAGCACCCUAAGGUGAAAAGCUCGGCCUUACAAAACCUUUAUCCGUCAGCUCUUGCAACUGUGCUUUCAACUCUCUCAGCUAGGUUGGUGCCAUCCUAUACGGAGCAAUUAAAAUAGGAUCUGUCCUUGGCACCAGCUCAAUACCAAAUUCUAUUUCCCUUUCAGGAGGUAAUCCGGGUAAUUCUUCUAGAAAUACAUCUGGGUACUCACAUACUAUAGGCACAGAUUCAAUCUUCAACUCUGUUUCCUUAGUGUUCAAUACAAUUGCAAGGUAGGCUUCAUACCCUUUUCUCAUAUAUCUCUGAGCAACCAUUGCCGUGAUCACAACCGAAAGCGUACCCAACUCUCUUGAAUCAACCCAUAGAAAUUCACCAUCCGGACAUUUCAAUUUAAUAUACUUACCACCAUAAUUUACAAUUACAUCAUGCAGUGCUAACCAAUCCAUACCAAAUAUUAUAUCAAAUUCAUCAAAUGGUAACAACAUAAGAUUAGCCAGAAAACAAUGACCCUGAAUUGUCAAAGGACAAUUCUUACAGACUUUAUCAACUAUGACUGAUCUGCCUAGUGAGUUCGACACUUUAAUAAUAAAUUCCGUAGGCUCAAUGAGUAUGUUCAUUCUAGAUACCAAGCUCAUACAAAUGUAUGAAUGCGUCGACCCCGGGUCAAUUAAGGCAAUAACACAUGUAUCGAAAAGAGAAAAAGUAUCCGUGAUAACAUUAGGAGCAGAGGCUUCCUCUCGGGCGCGUACCGCAUACGUUCUUGCCGGAGGUUGAGCCUCUAAUUUUGCAGCAUCUUUAACCACAACUCAACUGUCACUGGCACUUCCAAGAUAUCUCGGAGGUCUACCUCAUGAAAUGGGAGUACUCGACUUCAGGGCUACUUUCACUUCUUUCUCGACUCACUCUAGGCAGUCCCUGAGAAAGUGGUCAAGAGAUCCACAUCUGAAACAUGCACGUCUCUUCACUCGGCACUCUCCGAAGUGAAAUUUGUUGCAACUCCUACACUUCAGCUUUUGAUCAUCUACACUCCCCACACUAGUUACCAUCAGGGAGGAAGACUUUUGGCUUCUUCGUUUAGAGCUUCUCGCUCUACCCAAAUAUCCUACUGAUGAAAUGGAGCGUUCAUGCUGGCUCUUUGAUUUCUUGUGGGAAACAAGAGUGUUCUACCACUAGACCUCUUGCUCGCGGCUUAGGCCUCUCUCUUUGUUUGCUUUCUUUCGUUGUUAAGCUCCCCGACCUUCUUGGCCCGAUCAGCCAAUGCAACAACCUCUCAUAUUUCAAGGAUCCCAAUCAACAACUUAAUUUGCUCCUUCAGACCUUCCUCGAAGCGUUUACACAUUUUUGACUCGGUUUGGAGCCAUUCAGUUGCGUGCUGACUUAGCCUCACGAACUCUCGUUCAUAUUCUGCUUCAGUCUUGUUCCCUUGUUUGAGUUUUAGGAACUCAUUUCGUUUCAAGUCUAGAAACCGUUGGCUAAUGUAUUUCUUCCUAAACUCUAUUUAGAAGAAAUCUCAAGUGAUAUUUUCCUUUGGCACUACCGAGGAUACAGUCUUCCACCAAUGAUACGCAAUAUCUUUUAGGAGGGACACGGCACACUUCAAACGCUCCUCAGGUGUGCACGACAAAUCAUCUAACACUGGUGUAGUAUUCUCAAGCCAAAACUCGGCUCUUUCAGCAUCAUCAUCAACUUUAGCUCUGAAUUCCUCAGCCCCAUACUUUCUAAGCUUAUCAACAGGGGCUUUACCAAUUCUUACCGGUGCCCUACCUCGUGGCACAUCCUCAUUAGGUUGGUUAGGGGGCGGGGGAGGUCUUGGUAUGUUGGGGCGAUUCCUCAGGUAAUCCCCAAACCAUUCGUCCUUCAUAAGCCUUCUACUACUACUAGUAGAUACAGCUCGUUGUAUGAAAGCUGGAGCAUGGCUCUCAGCUCCCUCGGACUCAUCUUGUGUUUGAUUGGAAGACAUUUACUAUAUUCAAAACAAUUUAAACAGUUAGGAGACGUCAUACUAUCAAUAUUCGAAUGAUGGUAUGUAUAGCAAACCUCAAUACUCUCUACGAUAGUCCUAGAACUGACUAAAUCGUAGCUCUGAUACCAUUAAAUAUAACACCCUUUACCCGUUACUUGAGAUUCUCGUUCAUAAACAUAUUAAAUCUAAUCACUAAGUUGCACUCUAAUUUAAAACUAUUCAAAUAUGUAUAUCAUUUCCCUUAAACAAGCCUUCGAGACCUGAAACAUGCCUAGAUGCAGUACGGGACAAAACCGAAAACGUUUGAUAAACUUGGGGCACCUUGGAAAAUUUCUUUUAACUUGAAGUGUCACACGCCCGUAUGACUUGGGACACUCCCGUUCAAUCACCCCGUGUCCAAGACUUGAGCAUUCUAUUAAAUUCACACGGCCAAGACACACGCCCGUGUGUCUAGCCCGUGUUCAUUUAACAGACUUACCAUUUUAGAUGCAGGGGACACACAACCAUGCCACACACCUACGGGUGUGGCCCGUGUGUCAUACACGGCCUAGGCACACGCCCGUGUACCCAACUGUGUAAACCCUAUUAGGCUAUUUUCCAAGCCUAUGGUCACCCCCUUUUUAACACUUAUACUUAAUGAAUAUUAAAAACGAAGUAAAACAUGAUUAUGCUCUUAUAAAUGAUCUUUGCAAAAACUUAUUACGUGGAAACCUCAUAUCAUUAGUUUCGUACAUGCUAGGUUAUUUCCCAUCUUGUAUUUAUGUGUUGCCAUACCACUUUAACACAUUCAAGAUUGGCUCGUUCUUAUGACUCAUUGCCAAUUGGAAUUCAACCAUCGCACAUGAUUAUAAACUUGCAUGGAAAUUUUGUAGGUCAUAGCCUACUUCAAAAUAAGCCAAUCUCCAUGGCAAUAUACAAAAAGAUAGAAUUAUCUUUACAUGCUUUCAUUUGGAAAAUUAAAUGACACAUAUAACAAAAUACUCAAAAGACCUAUACAUGCCAUUGAACAAAUCAAAAAUGUCUUUAUACCAAAGCUGAGCUAUUUGAUAAUAUGCUGACUCUCUAACCGUCUUCAAUCUUUACGAGUCCUCGAGCUCUAGGAGAGACAGGGAAAAGAGAGGGGUAAGCAUUUUCAUGCUUAGUAAGCUCGAAUAACUGGAAAGUAAACUUACCAAGUAAUUAGCAUGCAAUCAAAUUGGGUAAUAAAUUCAAUGAGCAUAGGAUGGCUUCCCUGUAGCACCCCAAACCCGGCCUAGACGUUAUGGUCGGAUCCGACAUGCCACAUCGAAGCAUUCAAAACAUUUUAUAUUAUUGGUCCAGAAAAUCUUAUUUAGUGUUUUAAAAGAUAAUUUUAUUAUAGGUUAAAGUGAAUGGAAGCUAUGCACCAGGUAGGAAACCGAAAAAGAGGUGGUGAGUCCAUCGGACUGCGUAAGUACCAAGAUCCCUUCGGAUCCAAUCCUAGACAUGCAUACUGCCAUUGUCACACCUUAACGUCAUGGAUAUUUCUAGGAAACCGAUUUGAUUAAGUCAUUUUUAGGAAAAGUGAUUAAUUUUGGAAAACACUUUCAUUGCGGAAGCUUUAUUUGUUGUCGUGUUAUUUUGAAAUCAAUUGUUGUUUUUGAAAACGCACCCUAAAGCUAUCCAAUUUCAACAGUUAAAAUAAGUAAUACCUAUCUUAGUAAUACAUAUUAAAACCAUCAAAAAUAAUUAAGUGGCCUUAUUACAUUUAAAAACCCAAAACUUCAAACGUAAAUAACAGGAUAUCCAUUUCACCGGAAGAAAAUCAAACUUUCAGAAUGGGUGGCCACUCCAAAUUCCCUCACAACUCUAAGCCCACUAUGGUUGGGGAUUUCCUGCGUGGAUGAAAAUAAAAAGGGUGAGUUUGGGGAAACUCAGUGUAUAAGGAAAACCCAUUCAAAGCCCAAGUCAGCUCAAGCCAUUGGGCCUAAGCCCAUUCAGGUAACAGUGGUACUGGGCCAGAGCCCUUUUCAGAUUACAAUAAACUGGGCCUUAGCCCCUUAUUCAGAUAACAGUAUGGCCCAUAGGCCCAUUUCAAAAUACAUGCAACAUCAAUAACAUAUGCAAGCCCAUUUGGGGAGACUACUCAACCCACCAACCACUACACUCCACCCGUACCAGUCAUACACUCCAUGUGGGGAAUAGCUCAACCCACCCAGCCCAACACUCCACAGUUGCAGCCUUGCUGCUCAGUUAACAGUAAAUUGAGGCAAAGCCUCCAGUACGUGGACAAGCCACUUUCAGUACUUCCUCCGUCAAUAUCCCAGUCCCAUGCAUCAGAUAAUAACAACAUGGCAUGCAGUAAAUAACAACAGUCAAACAUGCAUUUAGGUCAAUUUAACCCUAGCGGUAUUUCGAUAAUUUAUCUCCUAGGGAUAAAACUGUAAAUUUUCCACUUUUAAAGGUAUUUCAGUAAUUUAUCUAUUUUAGGGUUUUUCAUGCAUAUUCCUACCUUUCACGUACUAACAGAAUCACGUACCGAGGGUUCUUACCGAAUUGGGCCCGUUGGUCAAUCAUUCCAAUUUUGGCCCAUUAAGCCCAAAAAUAUCGAGGGCACAAAAAUCAUGCACUUUGCAGUCCAAACACUGCAGCUUACCAAAAACAUUAAUCGAUUUACCUCACGAGCAUUCGCACACUCGCAAAUCUACAAAAUAUCGAUUUUUGACAUUUCGGCUUUUUGGCUUUUGCCGAUCUAGACUAAGAAAGAGGGUGUUAGUUACACACCUGUUUGCGACGAUAUGCUGACGAGAUCCACACACGAACUGCCUACAAUUGGAUUACUAACACGUUAAUCUAACUAUUCAAAUACAAACUACGUAUUAACCCCUUACAAUAUUCGGCCAACCACACCUACAAAUCAUAGUAAGCUUAUAAGAAAUCAAUAAGCAACUCAUUAACAAAUUUUUAUCAAUGUUUACCACAUAAUCAUAAUUUCACUGCAAGCUAUCUUCCUGAGCAAUAGUCACUAAAUUAUUUAUAACUGGAGCUACGAAACUCCAAAUCAAGUGCCAUUAAUUUUCCAUGAAAAUAGACUCAUAUAUCUUCUAUCCAUAAAAUUUCAGAAUUUUUUGGUCUAGCCAAUCAAUACCAGAUUUUUCUCAAAGUUUCCCAUGUUUCACUAUUUGACUAAUCUGACCACUCUUCAUUACGAAUCAAAUUUCUCAUUGUACAGAAUUUAAAAUAUGUUCUUGUUUAUUUCAUUAGAACCUAGACUCAAUAAGCUUUAAUUACAUAAUUUAUUCAGCUUCAAAUUCAUCUCCCACAAUUUAUGGUGAGUUUCCAAAGUCACAUUACUGCUGCUGUCCCAAGCAGAUUUAUUACCAAAUCACUCUUUCACACAUACCUUGCAUGCAUGUUAUUUAAACAUGUAUAUCACCAAUCAAUCAUCACAUAUCUAUGAUUUUACUUAAGAAUAAUCUCCAUUUCAUCAUUUUAAAGCACAACAUGUUAGCUGAUUUUUCCCUUUAACAUCUAAGGCACAUGCAUGCUCAUUUGUUUGGCUCAACUUCACCUAUCUUCCAUUUUUUUCAUCAAAAGAACAUGAAAAAACAACCAUUUCCUUAAUUUUAAUUCAUGACUAAAUGCUCACAACACAACUAAAAACCAAAAUAUGCUUCAAGAGUUAAGGUAGAAUCAAGAAGAACUCAUGAACAUCAAGAUAGAAGCCAACUACCAUGAACUUACCUUCAAUUUUCUUCCCCAAGUGACCGAACACUCAAGAGCUUUCUCCUCUCCUUUCUCUUCUCUAACUUUCAGCUAUGAUGAACAAAGAUGGACAAGACUUUGUUCUUUUCACCCCUUUUUCUUUUAAUAAAACUUCAUAUUUCAUCCAUUUAAUUCUUUAAUACAAAAGACAUGAAAUUCUUAUCAUGAAACAUUUACCUAACCCAUUAUCAUGAAACAUUUACCUAACCCAUUAUCAUGGAACAUUUACCUAACCUAUUAUCAAUUUAUAUCAAUUUGUACCAUAAAUUAUGGAUAUCAAGUGUACAUUUUGUCUACAACAACAUGAUGGCUGGCCACUUCAUGUAAAAUGGGAGGUUUGUCAUGCAAAUCCUCCUAUUUUGCACUCCUAUUUAUUUGGUCACUUCAAUUUAGCCUAUAGCAUUUUCAAACAUUUUCACAUAGGUCCUAUUUCAUAAUUUCACUCACAAAUGACAAAAAUUAAGCAUGAAAUUUUGCCAACAUUCACAGAAUUCCCGAAAAUUGGGGCGUUACAUUCCCUAUCACAUACACUCAAUCAAUGAGUUAGUCACAUAACAAUGUAUAAUGAAAGUUAUCUUAGAUGAGCUCAUCAUUCAACAUCUCAUUUUGUACAUAUAAGUCAUGUUAAUCUUGUUGAGUUUCUAGAAAGUCUCGAUAGAAUACUUAUUAACCGUCAAUUCGUAUGAAUUAUCAUUUCCAGUAUGCACUUCCGCGAACAUCACAUCUCAUGGCAGGAUUACCAGUCCAGGCUAAAUCCCCCAUUUUAUGAACUCAUAAGGUGAUGUCAAGAUUACAAGUCCAGGCUAAAUCCCUUAUAACAACAAACACCUUUAUUGAGCUUGGAUCUGAAUUACCAGUUCAGGCUAAAUUCAGAUCCUAAUCGGAUUACCCGUCUGGACUAAAUCCAUAAUGCACACAUAUUCUUCGGGAGGCUUGACCAUUUAAAGGAACACCCGUCCGGGCUAGAUCCUUUUAUAAAUGACAUCAACGGAUUACUCGUCUGGGCUAAAUCCUUACUGCAACACAUGCAGGACUUCAUUACACAUGUCAAUCAUGGUUUAUCCAUCGAAUUCCCUUUUUAACCUCAACCGAGACAUUUAUCACAAUUCAUACUUAAACAUACAUUUCAUAAAAUUUCAUGUUAUUAAUAAAUGCAAUCAUCAUGCAUUCAUAAAUCAUAUAAUUAGGCACAUUGAGUGUUUACUUUAAGUUAUCCGAACUUACCUGGUAUUCAUUUUGGUGUCGUGUUUUGGUUAUUUCGAAACCUUUCGUUUUCCUCGAUCGACCUCCAGAAUUUGUUCCUCUAGGUCUAUAACAAUAAAAAUAGAUCAUAAACACUCUAAAUUAUAUAUUUCAAGUCUAAAUUCCACCCCCGAUCCAAAUGACCGUUUUGCGCCUAACCUUUCACAUUUUUACAAUUUAGUCCCUAGGCUCGUAUAAUGAAAGGCAUGCAAUUUCUACCUUACUCAAGCCUAGCCGAACACUUUUCCCUCUUAUGGUAGCCCACAUUUUUCAUUAUUUCCACAUUCCUGCCACACAUUUUACAACUUUUGCAAAAAGGUCCCUUUAGGGGUUUUUCAUGAAAAUCACCUAGAAAAAGUUGUUUAACACACAUCAAACUUUCAUAUUCCUCCAUAAAACAUCAAAAUACUAGUAACUUAUGCAUGGGUAAAUUUUUAAACAUGAACCCUAGCAUGAAAUAUUGGUAGAAAUGGAGAGAGUAAGCUACCGAAAUCUCAAAAUUAAGAAGAACAUUAAAAACGGGGCUUGAGAACACUUACUAAUGAGCUUGAAAAGCUUGGAAACCCUAGUUAUGGUGGCUUGGAGAUUACGGCUGGACAAGGGAGAAAAAUGGUUAAUUUUUUCCUUCUUUUCCCAUUUUAUUUCAUUAAUAUGCCACAUGACCAAAAUGCCCUUAAGCCCUUUCUUUGAAAUUUCAUCAAUGCAAGCCCAUUUUUGUCCAAAAACUUAGAAAUUAGAAAAAUUUCUCCCCAAGACCUUCUAUUUUAUAAUCUAAAGCAAUUUCAUACAAAUUGCUUCUAGAAUCCAAGUUUUGCAAUUUAUUCAAUUUAGUCCCUAAUUUUCCAAUUGGGCACUUACUCAAAGAAUUCCUUCAUGAAACUUUAACACAUGUAUAUUCUCAUAUUCUAAGCCUCGUAAUAAUUAUAAAAUAAAUAUUUUGAUGUCGUAUUUGUAGUCUCGAAACCACUAUUCCGAUUAGGCCCUAUUUUGGGGUGUUACAUAAUUUACCAACUCCAAUGUCUUUGGGAAAAAUUUUAUUGCACAAGACUAUUAUAUCUUCCUCACUCAUAUGACCUAGUUGCAUGUGCCAAAGUUUUGUUGAGUCGGAAUCGAUGAAGAAAGAGUCACGUCGUGUCGCCGUGACGUGGUGGGAAUUUCGACUUUUCUUCAGUAAUCGCAGCCACACCAGUAAUUGUUGACCCUUGCAAAACGUAUAGGCUGCCCUUUUCCUCUCCCCUCAUCAUAAAAGAGCCUCAGAGAAACUUUUAAGUCAUUUGACUCAAUGACUAUCCUGCAACCAUUAGAAUCCAAAAUUCCCAAUGAGAUAAGAUUUUUCUUUAAAUCAGGAACAUACCUGACAUAUGAAAGUGUUUGAAUAAUCCUGUCAUGCAUCUUAAUUUGUAUCGUUCCAAUUCCGAAUAUUUUACAUGGGAGAGUUAUUCCCGAUCAGCACAACUCCACCUUCAACUUAACUAUAUGUAGAGAACCAGUCCCUGUUGGGAUACAUGUGACAGGAGUACUCUGAAUCUAAGUUCCAUUCAGAAGUAAGAUGAUAGCUUUUGCUCGUUGACACCAACAAGAAAUUAUCACAUUUAUCCUCAACUACACUAGCAUCAACAACGUCGGCUUUUUGCUUAUCUUUCUUAUCGUUUUCAUCAUCAUUUUUUAUAUUAUUUUGAAAUUUCCAACAUUCUGCCUUAACAUGGCCCGCCUUUUUACAAUAACCACAAUAUUUGUGAUGAUUUCUGGAGUUGGACCUUGCUUUAGACCUAUUUUGAUCUGUCUUUCUGGUUUGUCAUUUGCCUCUUGCAACUAGAACUGAGGUUUGCCCGUAUGAUUUUUUGUUUGGGCUUAACUCAUUAUUGAGUUUAUCCUUACUCAGAAGAUUCCCCUUCACAUCCUCGAACGAGUGAUGGUAUCUCCCAUAAAUCAAAGUUUCCCUGAAAGUUUUAUAAGAAAAAGGCAAAGAGCAUAACAAUAACAUAGCUUGAUCCUUAUCACUAAUAUUUGCUUCGAGAUUCUAUAAGUCUUUAAAAAGGGUAACAAACUCGCUAAUAUGAGUUUUGAUGGACUCACCUUUAGCCAUUCUGAACAUGUAGAAAUGUUGUUUUAAUACUAACCUGUUGGCUAGAGAUUUUGUCAUAUAUAAGGUUUCUAGUUUCUUCCAUAACAUAAACGAUGUUUUCUCCUUCAAAACCUUCUAUAACACAUUAUUCGUGAGAUAUAAUUGAAUAAUGGAUAGAGUCUUUUCAUCGAGCUCUUCCCAUUCUGACUGAUCCAUAUCUACGAGCUUUUUCCCUGUAAUGACCUUUUUCAGACCGUUCUAAACCAAUAUUGUUGUCAUUCAAACUUUCCACAAACUAAAAUUUACAAUUCUUCAAACUUCUCAAUAUCAAACCUUGACGUUGCCAUCUCUAAACGGGUUGACUGUAAAAAUUAAACUAGCUCUGAUACCAUUUUGUGGGGGAAAAACCCAUUAAGCAAUGAAUAAAGUAAAUAAAAUAAGAAUCGAAAAGAUCGAACAUGUAAAUUUUGCAUGGAAAACUCCUCAAGAGAGGAUAAAAACCACGGGAAAAAACAAAUUUCACUAUAAUAAAGGAGAGUACAAAAGAUGGAGGAGAGAAUUAAAAGAAAACCCGAAGCCCUUCAAGAAAAACCCUUCAAAACAAAGAAUAAAAUUCUCUCAAUCUAAAUAAAUUUUUGUUAUGUAAAACCUAGAGUAACUAAGGACUAUUUAUAGUUGAAAUUUGUAGCAUAUAUGACUACAACAAUUAGAGUUUAAGUGGGAAAGUAGAAACAAAGUUUAACUAGGAGAAAAAUAAAUUUUGGUCAAAAUAAGAGGCAUUCUUCCACACCUUUCCAAAUAAUACCUUAAGAGAGUGUCACAAAGUUACCCAAUGGAAUAGCAAGAUACAAAAGCUUAAGAUACUCCAAAACAGCAAACAAAGUGAGACCACACUAUUGCCUAUUUAUAGGCGUCUACAAGUGAUUAUAAGAUAGUGUUUUGAUAAGCUUUAAACUCUCCUUUAAAAGUUGAAAUUAUCAAAUUAAUUAUCUUGAAUAUUUAUCACAUAAAAGACUUUAUAACCAAGUUUUCCAAUAGCUUCAAACACUCUAAAAGGUAAGGAUAAGGAUAAGUGCCCAAAUUUCGAACUCCUCUCCUUCCUAGGCUAAUCAAAUGGAUGAUAAUCAUAUUCCAAUUUACCAAGAAAUUCUCUUAUCAUUUGUUGUUAACUAAUAUUAGAACAUAAGCCAUUAAAAGUCAAACAUGCCAACACCCAAAAAUGUUGAUUGCUCCAAAAAGCUUGUUUUAAUUGUUGUUCAAACAAGUCAGUACAAUUUCCAACAAAAAUUAAUAAUAACUAAAAAAUAUUAAAAAAUAAAAAAAUAUAUUUAAUAAAUGAAAAAUCAAAUAAAACCUAAUAAAAAGCUCAACCUUUUGUUAAAAAAAAUCAAAUAACUGAUAGUGUCUAGGAGAUGAGGAGUUAUACAUUUAAAUAUAUUGUAUUAUAUUAUUAUGUCGUAUAUUAAAUUAACAUUUAUAAUCUUUUUUUUUAAGGAAACCGUUAGUCUCAUAUUUUCGUCUUCUGUUUUUUUUUUCCGGUUAACAACAAAACUAGAAAAUACUGCACUUACACAUGUAUAUAUGUUGACCAUAUCUAAGAAAUAUGUUACUGAAUCAUGUGAAAUUCAUUCCCUUGAGCCAAGAAAAAGGAACGUAAAAUCAUGUGAGUUCACGUGGCAAUUAGGUAGAAAUUAGACAACUUGUCUAUGCUUCAAUCAUUAUGAGGCAAACCAAGACAAGUUCAACUUUUUUUUUAUCCUCUCACUGUGAAACCUUUUGCAGGAAGACUUAGGAACAAUAGCUAAGCCUAAAUCCUGCUAGAAUCACAACAUAUUGUUUUGUUUAUUAAAAAAAAAAGAUGAUAUUGGUCUUUGAUAUGUAAAAUUGAUCUAUACAUGCAUUGAUGUUGAGCAAUUUUUGUUUGAGGAGUUAACCGCUACAUUAUAUAGAAGUAAUUAACGUCUUGGGGAUUUUUUAUGCAAAAAAAUAUAUACAUAAAUUUAUAUGAAAAAUACAUGGUUAAAAAAAUUUGUAAAUAAAGCCUUGACAUGGUAGGUAAAAGUGGAAGCUAUAGGCUUUGAGUAACCAUAUUCAAGACCCACCGUACACAGUUGAAUGUAUGGGUUUUAAAGUCCUAUUAUUAAUUGUUAUGUGUUGGUUUUAGUUUGAUUAAUUAUAUUAUAACUUACAUUGUUUCUGUUUAUAAUUUAUAUUUUAUGUAAUAGAUUGAUUUUUUGUCUUAAUUUUUAGUCUAUUUAAAUGAUAUAAUUGUUUAAUUCUACACUUAAUAGUUACUUUGACCUAUAUUUAUAUUUUAAUUUUUCUGUAUUUUUAAACUUUAAAAAAACAUAUAUUUAUAUAUAGAAAGUUUAUGAAUAAAAUUUCUUUUUUCGAAAAACAAUAGAAAGCAUACGCAUUUAAUAUUUGGCAAAAAUAAAGUGAGUAAUGAAAGAUUGAAUUAAGGCAAACUAUAUUUGAUAGCAUCUUUGAUUGGUAAAGCCACCAAUAUCAGAAAACCGGAAACACUAAGACUAAUACGAUGCAUUAAUCAGCGGAGUAGUUCAGCAUUAGUGAUGAAGAUGAAAGUGGUAGAUACAAACCUUUUUCAAAGCAUUAAACACACUCAACCAUAAGCUGAAACAUGAAAAAGAAAGAAAGAAACCUUGGCAUUGAAUUGGGCCAACUACCAACGCCUAACCAUAUACUAUUCGUACGUGUUUCUCAGUUCUUUUGAUAUCCCUUCACUCAACUUUUGGCUAUAAAAACCCUCCUACGCUCAAGCCCUAACCACGACAAUCAGCUAUAGUACUUCUACUCCAAGCAAGCAUUUUCCUUUUCUUGUGAUUAAUCGAUAUGGCUAGCUCAAUGUCCCUUAAGCUUGCAUGUGUGGUGGUGUUGUGCAUGGUGGUGGGUGCACCCCUGGCUCAAGGGGCCGUAACCUGUGGUCAAGUCACAAGCUCCCUCGCACCCUGCAUUAAUUACUUGAGAGGGACUGGUGCUGGUGCUAUUCCCCCAGGUUGCUGCAGCGGCAUCAAAUCUCUCAACUCCGCCGCCCAAACAACACCAGACCGGCAAGCAGCUUGCAAAUGCAUCAAAAGUGCGGCCGCCGGCAUUCCUGGCAUCAACUUUGGCCUUGCAAGCGGACUACCAGGCAAGUGCGGUGUCAACAUCCCUUACAAGAUCAGCCCUAGCACUGACUGCAGCAGGUUCGUAUGAGUUGUUUCAUUGCUUAUGCUUAUUAAUUGCUCAACAUUUAAUGGUGUGUCUUUUGUUGUUUCAUUUGCAGCGUCAAGUGAAAUUUUGGCAUGGAAUGUUCAUCAGCUAGUGGAAGCCAAAAUAAUGAUAGCUACAGAAUAAAAAUGGAUGUUUAAAAUCCAUCCGUAGGGAUAGCAGAGGAGUUAUCCUAAUUUUAGAGUUGUGCGUUGUGUACUAGGUCGGUUUUUGCGACUAUGUAAUACUAUCUUUAUCUACAAAUUAAUAUCACUCAUUAUUUUGUGUUUCUUCUAUAUGAUAUUUAUCUAUAUACCCUUCUCUCAAGCAUUUUAUAUCAACAUUCACGUGGUCUAAUAAUAAUGAAAAUCAUGAUUACUCAACCCUAAGUUUAAUUAAAUCAAUUUAUGCACCGGUUCUGUUCUUUAGUUGCAUGUACCGGAUGCAAUUCCCAUUGCAAUCUGUUUUGUAAUUGAAAGGUUAUACAACUUGCUAUAUAUAUCGACAUAUUUUUAAUUGAAAAAUUUUGGGCUCAUUCUUAAUUUACUUUAAAUCUUUAAAGUGGACUACUCCUUUGGAGACAUUUCUUUUUAAAUGAAAAUAUUAGAAAUACAAUUAAGAGAGAUUAUUCAUCUGAUCAUGUUGAAACACGGAUCAAAGUUCAAAGUUCAUGAUCAUUACGCACAAAACGUUUUAUGAAGAUUAACUGAUUAAACGAGAUUAUUAUUUGAUCCACUUGAACUUGCCUGACUCGUGGAACACAUGGAAAAGUCUAUCUACUUAAACCUUUGGAGGUUCAGUGAAACUCUCCAGUAAAAUUAGAGUUACCAGAGUAAUUAAUGUAAAGCCUAAGGGAUAAAAAUGUAUAGAGUUUAAAUCUCAUAGGACUCUCAUCUUAUAAAUAAGUACUAAUAUCAGUCGUCGAUAUAAUUUAAUCUGUAUCAUUGGAUCUAGGGGAGCUCAACUAUAAAUAGAGACCUCCUUCAUUUGUAAUCAUCUCAUUGUACUCAUGAACAAAGCCAAAAAUAUUUUUUUGGGAUAGAAUUAAAUUAUAUAUUUUUACAAUAGUAAAAAUACAAUUUCACUAAUUUAAUAGUUAUCUUUAUAAUUUUUAAAGAAUUAAAUCAAAUUUUUAUGAUGGGGAAAGUGAAAUUUUACCAUUAUUAAUUUUAAAUUUUAUAAAUUAUAAAGGGAUAUAAAUGAAAUUUUUUCUAUUUUAGAAGGGAGGUCCCUACCAGCCCUCUUAGUUUCACCACUAAUUGUACUUCAUUCCUUCUUGAGUUAAAGAAUUUAUUAAGAGUAUUUACUCAAACACCUUGUAUACAUCGUUUUCUUAUAUCUUUUCAAUUCUCUUAUUGCUCUUUCAUUUUAAGUUACUUCCACAAUAUUUUUUGCUAACAUAGAGAAUUUUUAGGAAAAUUAUCACUUUUCGAGGGUUAGGUUGACUUAGGCAAAUUUAACGAAAAGAAAUCACUUAAAACCACACGAUUUAUUUAAAUUCUAAUCCCAUAACAGUAAAGUUUUGAUAUUUGAGUAACUCAACAUUUAUGUUUCAUGAAAAUAAAAAUAAUGAGAUUCACUCCUUACAAUAAAAUUUCUAUGUUGCACCUAAUUUACCAUUCACAAUAUGAUACUCAUAAUUAAGAUUAAUACAAUACAUGGGUUUGUCAUAAUGUAAUCUGAAAUAAGAAAGUAACAUUUUUUAAAUAAAUAUAAUUAGAAUCUAUUUUAUUAGUUCUGAAUUUUCAAAGUUUAUAUUAGUUUAAAACGGUUUUAAUAAUUCUUAGUUACAUAUCGCUGAUUAAACUUUUAAAUUUAAAUUCAACCGAUUCAUCUAAUAUAAUUCUAACAACAUUAAUAUAUAAUUUUUGUAUUUUUAUAAACACAUAAUUCUAAAUAUAUAAAUUCUUAAGUUGGUGAAUUGUUUAUUUUACACUAAUUUUAUAAUAAACUAUAUGCUAAUGAGAUAAUUUAUUUUACUAAAUUAUCAUUAAUGCUCCCUGAUUAGGAAUGUGCAUACAAAUUUGAAUAUCGCUGAAGAGAUAGCGAUUGUUUGUAAUAGAGAUUUAUCGUAUAAGUCUCAUCAUAAUUUCAUUAUCUUAGAAUCUAAACACAUUUUAUACAAAAAUGUUAUUUUAAAAUUAAGUGAUGUUUUGGUUGAAAUAAUUAAGUCAAAAUUUUAAACUUAAGUUUCAAUUUUAUUAUAGUAUUUUUUUAUUUAAAAAUAUGAAAAGGCAAAAAAUACUCUCUUAUUAAUAUUUUUUUUUAUUUUAUAUUAAAACUAUUUAGUAAAUUCUCAAUAGAGUUAGUAGCCGGUUGACUCGUGACACCAACUCAACUAAGGCUUAAUAUAAGUAUAAAUAGAUGAGUAAAUUUAGAAUAAUUAUUGUUAAUGUAACUGUAAAAAUUUACCAUUACAGUGUAAUGGAUUUUAAAGGGUUGAUUCUAAAAUCUGACUCUAAAUUUUUCAUCGAGCUUUGCUCUAACAACACACUUAGACGAUGGGAUCUCUCCAACAUUCUCGGUGAAAUUAAUUUUUUUGCUACAAGUAACCAACGAGGAAAGGGUGGAGGAGAAGAGUCUCGAUUCACCUAUGAUAGGAUGAGUUAAGGAGGGAGAGAGCGAGAGAGCUACAGUUGUUGUCUAGGUUUUCAGGGGAGAAAGAGUCGAUGCUUGGUUCCUCAUGCACCAGAGCUUACAUAGGGGAUCACCCAUUGUCCUGUAGUGUCGCGUAACUGACAAUGUUGUGUCCUACAAGAUUGUGCGUGCCAGCCAAGUGACAAGGCCGUCAUAGGUCAAUUGUCAUUAUAUAGUGUAUUGUGUGAUCCUACUCUAACAUUCUUGUCUUUGGGGUUGUACGAGACUAUUACGCUUUAGUGGUCCUCACGGAACUGCGUAACGAGCUAUCUCUAGGUAGUUUAGAUAGGGUUCAUGGGAGGUCAUUUGUGAGCAAUCCUAAGCGAAGGAUCGCUACGAAAGGUUCUUAACGAAGAGUCAUACGCAAACUGCUUCCAAUGGAGAGUUGUUUGCAUAUUGCUUCAUGUCUUGCCACGUAUUGAGAUGGAAAUAUAACAAUAACAUUAAAUUUUUUUCACAUGGACUCAGAGAAGCUAAUACAAUCCCAGACGCACUAGUUAAAAUUGGCACCCAUAGGAGUCAUUUAUUUCAUGUAUUUUGGGAUAAAUUUUUGGUGUUGUUGUAUGUGUUUCUUUAUAGCAGUGGUAUGCUAGUACAGCACUUGAACAUGCCUUGCACGGAUACUUUUUAUGAAACUGUAAGUCGACUAAUAAAAACGAAGUUAUGAAUAAACUGUACAUCUAUCUACCCACCUUCUUCCCUACCAUUUAUCCCCCGCCUUACUUUGGAAAAGAUUUAGGAGGGUUUCAGAUUUUACAUUUUAAAUUUUAGAUUUAUAUUUCAAAAUCCAUAAUCAUUUUUUAAAUUUGUGGAUCUACUCUAUUUAGUUGGAAUUUUAAUAAAUCUAGAAAUUUAAUAUAUUUAUGCUAAUAUACGCAUUACAUUCAUUUAAUUUAAAUAUAAAAUGACAUUAAAAUAUACAUGAUCUGAAACAUAUUAUUAUUAGACUUUUAGUCCCACCAUUUGCAAAUGUUAUUUGUGAGUUUAAAUCUCAUCAUGUAUUGGUUCUCUUCAAAAAAUUUUGAUUUAAAUCUAAAUAUAUUUAUGUUAUCAGUUAGUUAUGCUUUGUACUAUAUAUAUUCUAUUUUUAAUUGAUCAAAUAUAUAUUAUUUUUUAUUGCACUAGUAAACUAUUUAAAGAAAAUGUUAUUAUUAUUAUUUCCUUGGCUUUUCUUUUAUUUAUUUGGAACAUUAAAAAAUGAAAGGCUUUUCUUUAACUCCAUAUUCGUAUAACUUUUUUUUUAAAUAUUAUAACUAAUUUUAUAAUGCACACAAAAAUAGACAAAGAAUUUAUAAUUUUUUUUUAAGAAGACAGAAUUUAUAUUUAAUAUAAAAUCAAUCCUCGUUGAAUAGGAUUGCUUAUUACGACACACCUGUAAGCUCAUUAAAAUCAAUUUGGGGUUAGUAGAGAUAUAAAUCAUAUCAUUAAUUAUUUUUUUAUAUUGAGUCGGUGUGAUUUAUGUAAUUUAUUAUUCUAAUUCAUUUUAGGGAAUUUUUUAUGUAUAAAUCUUGUGUUGAAAUCAUAUAAUUUAUCUUACAAUUAUGAAUUUAUCUUUUGACGCGUCGAAAAUUAUUUAUUUGAAGGUUUUAUUAAAAAAUAUUAUUUAUAUUAUUUAAUAUUAUCGUCAAUAACUUUUUAUCCAGUGACUAGAAUAUUAUGAUAUAAAUAUUAGAGUUUAGGUUUGAUGACAAAUAAUUUUAUUCUCCACCCUUAAUUAUCCAAUAUAUAUAUAUUUCAUAUUACUUAAUUUUUUUAAAGUCAAAUUUUAUUAAAGAAUGAAUAUGAAAAAAUUAAAAAUAUUUCUUUUCUAAAAUAAUUUGACAAGCAAUAAAGCAUAAAAAAAAUUCCAUAAACAAUAAUUUCGAAUAAUAAAUUAUAAACUUUUGAUAAAGAUGUACUCAAAUAUCUUAAUAACUAAUAAUAAAAUAUGUAUAUAUUUUUUAAUUUCAUGUUUAAUUUAAAAUUUUUAAAAUAUUUCUUCAUAUUACAAAUGUAAUUUGUCUCCCUUUUUUACAAUAGUUGGAUCACUCUUCAUAAUAUACACAAUAAUAUAUUAUAAAGCAAUUUAUAAACAAUAAUAUAUUAUUUAUAAAAUCUUUUAAAAAUUAAAAAUUAAUUCACACGAUGAAUCUGUGCAUCUAAACAUAUCAACUACUUAAUAAUAUAUUUUGCAUACAAUUUGAUAAUAGUCCAAUUUGAAAAAAUAUAUAUUUUUGUGCUUUCUCAUAAAAUUCUUAAAUAACCCAUAAAAAGAUAUUAUAUGUUUUAAGUGCAUCUGAAUUUUUUCAACUUUAGAGUUAUUACAAAAGCAACAAAACCAAUUAAAUUAAUAUUUGGUUGGUUAAAGUUUAGGCGUUAAUAACUUAUUUUAUAUAGAUAUAAAAACAUUCAUACAUUCGUAUAGUGUUCAUAAUAUUUUUAUGCCAUUUAAUGUAUGAAUUGAUUUUCCAUAUCUUCUUUGUAUUGUUAAUUUUAACACUAUAUUUUUUUACAAAAAUUUAAAUUUUUAUACAUAUAUAAUAUUAAUAUAAAAUUUAAUUUAAUUUUCAAAAAGCUUUGAGCCAACAUAUUCAAAUUAGUCAACAACCUAACAAAACAAGUGGUUGAGGUUGCUUGUUGGCGCUGAUAUAGAUCCGACUAAUGUCAUUCACUACGAAAAUAAUGGAAAAGGCCACCUGUGGGGCCAACUAGGUAGAUAUAUUAUGAAUUGAAUGACAUGUGGCUGGUUGUAAUACCUCAUUGCAUUCAUUGCUUCAUUCACCCCCUAUUGAAAGUGAUAGAUUUUUUCUUUUAGGGAGAUUUAACUUACAAAUUCAUACUCUCUUUUUUUUUUUAUCAUAAGAGGUGUUUAAACUGUUUUUUUUUAAGUUUGGUAUUUCGGUUUAAUCAAAUUAUUAAGUUAAAAAAAUUUUAACCCAUUAAUUAGUAUCUAAGCUACAUAUUUUUUUCAAAUUGAUACCUAAACAUUUUUUUAUCCUACGUGGUACUUAAAUUAUUCUUUCAUUUUCCAUUUAAUACCAAAAUAUUAUAUUCAUUAAAAAAAUCUAAUCAAUAAUAGAUUGACAUGUAAAAUUUUAAAAAAAUAAUUAAUUCUUCUCUUCUCUUCUCUUUUUUUUUCAAUUAUUUCCCUCAUUUUAACUUUUUAUUUUUUUUUUCUUUCUUCUUCCUUUAUAAUGUCUAACAAUGACAACAAAUGCAAUGCUCAAAAUUCGCCCUCGUGAGGUUAAGACUAUGGAAAUUAAUUUUCUUUUCGAACUAUAUCGCUUGUAUGUUAGACCUGACGAGAUCGUAAAAAUUCUUUCAUUGAUCAAAACCAAUUUUUUUUCAGAAUCAGGCUAACAGGUCAUACUUUUGUAGGGGUGAGCGUCUAAUCGAAUCAAAUAGAAAAAUUUCGAUUUAAUCAAGUUGACGAGUCCUAUUUUAUCAUCUUAAAAUGAUUUAAAAUUUUAUCGAAUCGAAUCGAAUAUAUUUGUCUCCAGUUAAUUGAAAAAAAUUCUUUGGAUCCUUGUAGCCACUGUCACUCAUCAUAAUCAAAUUUGUCCAUCGUAAUCAAAUUUGUUAUUAACUUUCAUCCCUUCAUAAUUUAUUUAUUAAUCUUUUAUAUACGGGUUAGCUUCUUUGCUUGCUUAGUUGCUUCAAUUAUCUUUUAAUUCUUGUCACUGUGUAUUUUGAAAUUAAAAAAUAUAUUAAAUGUAAAAAAAUAUUUUUUUAAUAAAAUUUAUUUUAAAGAUAAAAUGUGAAAUUGGUACCAAUAGAAAGUUUUAACACAAAUAUUGUAUGACAUCACCAAUGAUACAAUUUUAACAGAAAUUGAUAAAGAUUCAACAUGAUUAAACAACUUAAUAAUAUAAAUAAUACAAAAUGUGAAAUUUAAUUUAUAAUAUAAAUAAUAGCCAUAAAUAAAAUUAUUACUAUUUAGGUCUAAGGAUUUUUUUUGGAGGAUUUUGAUUUUUGAUUUGGGGAUAAAGGGUGAGAAGUAAAAGUUUUGGGGGAAAAGUAGAAGGGUUUGGGACGGGGUAGGGGUGGGGGUGGGGUUGAGGCUGGGGGAAGGGGAAUAAAAGUUUCGAGGGUAAAGUUUGGAGGUUUGGGGUUGUAACACCCCAAACCCGGCCUAGAUGUUAGGACCAAGCCUGGAAAGCUACAACAAAUCAUUCCAAAAAAUGUCACUUUUAACUAAUUAAAGUUUAAUUGUCAGAAAAUGUUUAAAUAGUUGAACUAAUGUAGAAAUAUAAAUUUGCAAUCUGUAAUUCAAGAUAAACAACUAUAGUAUAAGUUUAAUUAAAGCGGAAAAUUACUAAGUAAGAAUGACUGAGCUCCCGCCACGGCGACCGGCCUAAGUCGAUGAGUUACCAAAAAUUCAGUCAACAGACAAAAUGAGUCGGUAAACACAACAUGUAAAUUAUAUUUUUAUUAAGCAAAACAACAGAACAUAUCUUCAGUUUUUCAAAAUUCGAACAGUUUUCAAAAUCAUAUACGGAAGCAGAACAGAAUAUGUCAGUUACACACCAUCUCCAUCCAACCCUACACACCAAAAAGGUAUGGAAUGCCCAUUCAUCCCUACACACCACAUAGUGACCAUAUGUCAUGUUCAAAAGGUUACAAACUAAAUUCUAGGACAGAAUGUGAAAGUCGCCAAAAUUAGAUACAUUUACGUGGCUUAGCCACCAAUCUUAGUAGAUUAUUUAACUGCCACAACUUCCUCCUUAUUCAAUCCCAACCCCAAUGCAGAUGCAAAGUUACAGAUACAGAUAUAAGCAUAGAUGUUACAGAUUCAGAUUAUACUCAGUUAACACAGAAUACAACUAUUCGCUAGUUUACAAUUCUAUGAUGUAUAUAAAAUAAUAGUUUAUACAGAAACAAAUUACUAGUCAAUGGGUUUUAUAACCCAAAUCGGAUCAUACAAACCCUAAGGUAAGCCUACGUUCGACUGGAACGACGUUUAUAGCCCUAACGAAAAAUUUGAAAUUUUGACCCAUACACUUGUGUGGAUUCACAUGUCUUGGAAGGCUGGCCUAUGUGGCACACGAUCUAUAACAUGGCCUGGCACACGACCAUGUGGCUCAAAAAAAUGAGUUACACAGUCUAGCACAUAGUCAAGCACACGUUCAUGUGACUCAAUUCAUAAAAUUUCCUUCAUAUGGCCUGGACACACGAACGUGUCCUAGCGCGUGUGACUCUAAUCCACAAAUAGUAAGUUACACGACCUAGACACAUGCCCACAUCCUUGGCUUGGUGACCCUAAUACACAAACAGUAAGUUACACGGCUAUAUGAUUAACAACCAUGUGUUCCAGUGUUCGCAAAUCAUAAAAAAAUGCGUUUUCUUUAAACACUUGAUGUAGUUUCGAUGUAGAAGCAACACACAAGAAUUUGGAACCUAAAACGACAAUUAAUUGACCAAUUAAACGACUAAUCAACUCAAAAUUCCAAAAUUAGCACUCAAAACUAACGUACGUCGAAAACUUCGAUGCAACCAACCAAAGCAGAAAUUUUCGCUUAUUGACAAGCGAGCAACAAUAGUUCAGACCUAAUUUCGCAGGAAAACAUUACUUUUGAAACCUUUUCCUAAAAGAAGAUCCAUUAGAACUAUUAACGAGAUUUUACAAUGAUUGGCAGUAAUAUCGAACCUCGACGAAACAGAAAAAGUCUAGCAAAAAAUAGGCAGAAAAAAACAACAGAAAUUACGAAAUAUCCUUGCAAUCAACGUAAAAAACCACACAGAUUUCCCAAUUAAGCACGAUAGCAAACUUACGGAAGCAAUCAAGCAAGAAAGGUGUAAUAGCCCAUUUUUAGUAAAAUCAGAACAGUGGUUUCGGGACCACAAAUCUAGAGUCAAAAAUAUAAUUUUAUUAUUAUUUUAUGGUCUACAUCAUGAUAUUAUUACAGUAUAAAAAUUUUGUUAAGAAAUUUUACCGUUUACAUGUUCAAUUUGAUAAAAAGGACUAAAUCGCGUAAAGUGCAAAAGUAGAGUUUUAAUAGCUAAAGGUAUUAAAUAGCUAUAUAAAUUUAAAUUAGAGGUCCUUAUAUGGUAAUAACCCAUAAAUGUGUUAGUGGAAUGUCAUGGCUUGGUAAACUUGUAAAUUGAAAUAAUUUUAAAGGUCAAAUAAAUAAUUAAGUAAAUAAAGGCAAAAUUUAGUAAAAUAAAGCCAAGUAUAAUCUUUUAUCCUCUUUAUUCAACCGAUUAGCUUAGAAAAAGAAGCCAUUUUUUCUCUUUAUGGUUCGGCAAGCUUGUUUCCAUCAAUUAGGUAUGUGUUUUGUCCCCCCCUUUUUUUAUAAUUUCUAUGUUUCUAGGAUCGUUGUAACUUAAUCUAGCUAGCCUGGGAAUUAAUUUGUGAAAAUGUUAAAGUAUUUGAGUUUUACUAUUGAUGAACAUGUUAGGGUUUUGAAGUUUAAUAGUAUAAAAUAAAUGGUUGUUGUUAGAUAAACAACCUUUUUAAAGGAAUUUUUUAUGAAAUUAUCAAUUAGGGAUUAAAUUAAAAAAUAUGAUAAAUUUGUGGUACAAUUUUGAAUUUGUGAAAUAUAUGGGCAGCUAUAAAUAUGUUUAUAGUUCGGCUAGGCUUGGGUUUGGAUAAAAUCGAAUGAAUUUCAUUUUUCGAGCCUACGGACUAAAUUACAAAGUAUUAAAAGUUACCAUUUUGCCAAAAAUGUAUGCUGGACUAAAUUAAAAAUGAAUUAUAUUGAAUUGAGUUAAAUUAAUUCGUAUAGAUCCGGUUAGACCUCGUAUGGAGUUCUAUUAGGGCAAAGGAAAAAUAUCAGAUUAGUCGCCUUCGUAUCUACGUACACUUGUCGAGGUAAGUUCAUGUAAUUAAAUUGUGUAAUUAUAUGCUUUGAUUGAAUUAGAUGUAUGUUAUUUGCAUUAUCAUCAUAAAUGAAUAUCGAUCGCAUAUCUGAUGACGUACGACGAUUACCGAGCCCCAUUUGAACCUUAAGAAUUAGUAGGAUAUAAAUAACAUGUCAUUAGGGUUAUCGAUUUCAGUUCUUAUGAGCUUACCGAUACUCAGCUCGUAUGAGCUUACUGUUAUUCAGCUCGGAGGAGCUUACUGUUUACAGCUCGUAUAAGCAUACAUGUACAUGAGUUGAUGAAUUACAGUUUAAUACACCUCGUGUGUACUACUACAUAUCCAAUAAUAAUCUAAAUGGUUCAACGUGCACUGUUCUGUUAUGAUAUUACAUGAGUUCAAUACGAACUAAUACAGGUAUUUACAUAAGAUAUAUGAAAAUGAUUUGUACAUGAUAUGUAGAUACAUGAUGUGAAAAUUAUAUGUACAUGGAAAUUUGAUAAUUGUUGAGCUCAUACAUGUUUCUUGAUAUUUAUAUGAAUUACAUGACUAAAAUGGUUGAUCAAGAUAUGUGUUUAGGCUUCUAUCCAAAUUGAGUUUGGAUAUGUUUUGUAUGCUUACCUUAAAUGUGACUAAAUGGUAAGUUAAAUUCUAUGUUAUACGAACUUACUAAGCUUAAAUGCUUACUCUGUGUUAUUUUUCGUGUUUUUAGUGAUUCAGAAGCUCGUUCGGGUUGGAAGCUUGUCGGAGCUAUAUCACACUAUCCAUUGGCUCUUUUGGUACACUCAAUUGUUUAAUUUCAGUUAUAAUGGCAUGUAUAUGUUAAUUUGGCCAAUGUUGGCUUAUAUGUGUUUUGUUGAGAUUAGCCAUUUGUUUGGUUUGUGUUAUAGAAUUUUAGAUAUGUUCAUAUUUUGCUUAUUAUAGUUGACGUGUAGUUUGGUUCAUGAUUGAAUAAAGAGUGGUAAAAAGGUAGCCUAAUGUGCAUUUCAUAUAUGUGUUUUGGAAUGUGAAGAAUUGAUCAUGAAUUAGUGUCUGGAUAUGUAAGGCAUAUAAGUUAAAUAUGUUAGUAUGUGAAAUACAAUUUGGCAUCAAAUGAUGUGUUUUGGAAGGCAAGUAAUUUGGUAAGAAAUGAUGUAAAUCUGCUUAAUAAACUUUGGAUGCAAAUAUGCAUAUAAGUGAGUUAAACAUUUGGAUAUAAUGAAUACAUGAAAAUUCUUAUUAUAAGUUGUCAUUUGAGGUGCCUAAGGGCAUAUUGGUUGUAUGUAAUAAUAUUACAUGUUUUAAGCUUGAUUUUGGCUGGUUUUGGAUGCCUAUUUAUGACUUGGUUAUAUGCAAAAUGUUGUGUUUAGGUUGGUACCAAGUUGGGUGAGAAAUGUGGCUUGGAAAAUGACCUAUUUUCAUACACAUGGGUAGAGACACGGGCGUGUGUCUCAACCGUGUAGGUGAUAUGGCCGUGUGUCCCCUGUAUCUUUUAAAGAAUGCAAGUUAGUAUGCUCACACGGCCUGGCACAUAGGCGUGUGGCUUGGCCGCGUAACCCAAGUCAGUGAGUUACACGGGCAUGGACACAGGCUGGGACACGGUCUUAUGUCCCUAUUUCGAAUACCCACACAACCUAAGACACGGGCGUGUCUUUUGGCCGUGUGAGUCACACAGCCUGGCCACACGGCCAUGUGACCCCUGCAGUUUUGAAAUUUUUAUAAGUUUCUGAAAACUUCUCUGAAUUUUUUAUUUAGUCCCGAAUUAUUUCUAAGGUGUAUUUUGGGUCUCGAGGACUUGUAUUAGGGACAAUAUGCAUUAUUAUGAUUGGUUUCUGACAUGAAUACUAUAUGUUAUGAAAUGUUUGAAUUUUCUGUCCAUUUAAAUUGUAAACUUCGGUAAUACUCCUAACCCUAUUCCAGCGACGGAUUCGAGUUAGGGAUGUUACAAAAGGAGAAAAAGAAAAAAUAAGGAAAAGAAUUGUAAGGAAGGAGAAGAACAAAAAAUAAAAAUAAAAAAACUAAAAAUAAGUUUUAAACAAAAACAAUUAUUAAAAUAAAAUUGAUUUCCCGAUAGCACACCAAAAUAUUUCCUUAUUUCUUAUGCAGAGACUCAAACAUGAGACCUUAGGUAAUAUAAAACUUAAUCAUUAAACCAGAUGACUCAUUCUUGACACAAAUUAAUGUAGACACAAACUUAAGUCAAACAUUCAAGAAUAAGAGUUGAAACAAAAGAAUAAUAAAAUUCUCUAAAAGUACGACUUGAACCCUCGAUCCAAAAACCAACACAUAUAACUUAACCACUGAAGCAGAUACUUGCUUAUAAAUAGACACUAAUAGUAACAAUUCAAAAUUUGGGGCGUUACAGGGGCAGACAAAGAGGAAAGAGUAAAUUUUUGGGGGAAAAGUAAAAAUGUUUGGGGUUUGGGUUUUGAGGUAAAAUGUAAAAUAUUAUAGUUUGGUAUUCGGCUUAAUCGAAUUAUUCGGGUUAUUUGAAUUCAAAAACUCAACUUGACUCGAACUUGAAAUUAAAAAAAAUCUAGUUGAUUUGAUUAAUUCGAUUAGAAUAAUUCAAAAUUCGAGCUUUUUUCAAUUUUUUCGAGUCUAUUCAAAUUUUGCUCACCCUUAAUACUGGGAACCAAUUAGGAUACUAGUUUGGAGAUAGGGCUUGAACCAAUUAACCUGCAAACUGAUACAGAUUUAUUGAGCCGAGCUAAAAAAAAACUAGUUGAACUAGUUUUCUCUAUUUUUUAUUUUUAUCUUUAUGAAUUUUUAAUAAUUGAUUUCAUCAAACUGGAUAAAUUGAUUAAACCAGUAACUAAUGAUCUAGCUAGUUUGAAUAUGGUAAUUUUUAAUUGGUUAUCAUUUUUUAAAUAGACUUAACGAUUUGAGUAAAAUUUAAACUAACAAAUGUAUCAAUUUGAGAAAAAAUAAAUUAAGUACCACAUGUGACAAAAAUGUUUAAGUAUCAAAAUAAAAAAAAUAUAAUUUAAAUACAAAUUUGUAGAUUAAGGUUUCUUUUAACAAACUUAACGGAUUAAGGAAAUUAUCAAUUUGAGAAAAAAAAUAAUUUCGAUAACAGUCGCUGGUGACAAAAAAGGAAUUAACUACCAAAAUGAGAGAAAAGGGAAAAGAUUGAUAUAAUGUGAAUUGAAUGACAUGUGGCUGGUUGUAAUACCCAACAAGCUUUAACAGGUGUCACUGAUUAAAAUUAUAUCAUAUGUAUUCUAUCAAAAAUAUAUUAUGUAAAAUUACAAUUUUUAAAUUUAAUAAAAAAAUAUAUUAAAAAUUUUAACUCCGGCCAAAACGUGAAAUAAAUCGUUUUUUAACAGUGUUUUGGAAAAAAAAAUUAGGGUUAAGUACCGAAAUGAUCACUAGAGUAUUACUUGUGUUUUAUUUUGAUUACUAAAUUUUUAAUUAUUUUUAUUUUAGUCACUAAACUAUAUGAAAUCAAAUAUUUUUGUCACUAAAUGUUAAUGACCGUUUGAAAAUUUUUCGAAAGUGUUGAAAUGUGUUAUUUUUUAUUUGUCUAAUAAAAAAUUUAAUCUUCUUUACACAUUCUAUCAAUUUGAUUCUAAAUAUAAAAAAUCAAUAAAUUUAACACCAAAUGUUUACAAAAUUUGUCACUUUAGUUCAAAUUCUAAAAAACAAAAUUAAUAAAUUUAGCUCUUAACAUUUACAAAAUGAAAAUUUUUAAUUUUUAAAAAUUUUGUAAAUUAAAAAGAAAAACAAGUGUAAUAAUUGUAAAAAUUAUUAACAAUUAAAAAAAUCCAUAAAGCCGUUAGCUACCUCAUAGUCAGUGCCAUUUAAAAACAUGCUUAGCCAUAAUAGUACAAGAAUUAAUGAAAAAGUAGAGUAAAAUUCAAAACAAUCAAUCUUAUCGAUAUACUUUUUCAAGGCUUUUAAUGUAAACUAAAAAUUCUUGUCCCAUCUUGUUCUUCUUCUUUUUUCUACAUUGGUUUAAAUUAUUAUUUGCUAUUAAGACAUUGUCAAUUUCAGUAUUUGUCUCAUUGCUUGAUCUUCACAAGAAAUUCUAGAAACAUAGUAUUGUGUUUUUGAGAAACCGUGAACCUUGUUUUGUUAAUCUAGGUUUACACCAAAUUUCAUUAUUGUACUCUACUUGUGAUUUAUUUGUGAUUCUUUUUUCAAUUUCUUGUAUUUGAAAAUAGAGUAUUAGUGAUUUUUUAGUACUGCUGCUAGUUAUGUAUGAAGUUGCUCAAAUUUAUGUGUUUAGCCAAAGGGUAGGGGAAUCAAUGCAUCCGCUACACUUACUUUCAAUGUUUCGCCUUGUCUUGGGGUUAAACUAAAGUUGAAGUCUCAUUUUAAAGUUGAGAGAUUAGAUCGUGGUGAUGAUAAUUAUUUCUUUUUUUUUUUUAAGUUUAUUUAGGUUUGUGUGUUGAGUUUUUUAAAAAAAAAUUUACAAACUUUUAAAAAUCAAAUCUUGUCAUUUUGUAAAUGUUGAUAGUUAAAUUUAUUGAAUUCUUUUAGAAUUUGAAUUAAAAUGAAAAAUUUUGUAAACAUUGAGGGCUAAUUUUGUUGAAUUUUUUUAUAUUGAAGACCAAAUUGAUAGAAUAUAUAAAUAUUAAAAAACUAAAUUUAUUAUUAGACCAAUAAAAAAAAACCAAUUCCACACUUCUUUUAAAUUUCAAACUGCUCUUAACAUUGAGUGAAGAAAAUAUUUAGUUUUAUAUUAUUACCAAAAUAAAUAAAAAUAAAAAUUCAAUCAACCAAAUAAUCUAUAAAUAGAUUUAGAAUGUUGCAUGAUAUAUAUAUUAAAAAAAAGAAAAAAAAACGAUGCAUGUGCCCUAAUGUUGUGAAGUUUUUUUUUUCAUUGAAAAUAACAAAAUAACUAUUUGUUUAUAUUUUAUAUUAGUUCUAUGGCAUACCGCGUGGAAAAGGAAAAUUCAUGUAAAUAAUAUAUUUAUAAAAAUUUAUAUUAAAACUAAAUGAGAUUUUAGUUGAAAUAGUUAAGUUAAAAAGUGUAAAAUUUAUGAGCUAUAAGUUUAAAUCCUAUUGUAGUGUUAUUUAUAAAAAAAAUGAGAAAAGAUAAAAAUACCUUUAUAUUAAUAUUUGUUAUAUUAUAAAAUAAGGAUAUUUUUAACAAAUUUUCAAUUGAAUAGAUGUUUGGGUGAAUCCUAAUACCAAUUAAAGUAUAUAUACACAAACAAUUAUAAAUCAAAUUACUUUUAAUAAAAUGCUAUCAUUCAAUUCAAUGACAAUAAAUGCAUUUAUAAAUACAUCAAAUGUAAAUCUCAUGUUUAUAAGAAAACACGUAGAAAAAAAGUUAAACCAAUAUUUGAGUCCUAGCUGUGGAGGCAUGAUUGAGUGAAAUCAAAUGGACGCUGGUUUUAAUUCUAUUGAAAGAAACCAAUAAUCACGUAGGUUGGCAGUUGAACAUAAUUGAAUGGUCUCAACUUUUAAUGUGGUGUUAAUGUUUGGAUCGGAUAAUCUCAACUUACCUAAUAGCUAGGAAAGUAAAAUUCAAACAUCACCCGCUACUACUUUUGGCUAUAAAAACCCUCCUACCCUCAAGCCCUAACCACGACAAUCACCAAUAGUACUACUACUCCAAGCAAGUAUUUUCCUUACACGUUUGUUUUUCUUGUGAUUAAUCGAUAUGGCUAGCUCAAUGUCCCUUAAACUUGCAUGUGUGGUGGUGUUGUGCAUGGUAGUGGGUGCACCCCUGGCUCAAGGGGCCGUAACCUGUGGUCAAGUCACAAACUCCCUCGCACCCUGCAUUAAUUACUUGAGAGGGAGUGGUGCUGGUGCCGUUCCCCCAGGUUGCUGCAGCGGCAUCAAAUCUCUCAACUCCGCCGCCCAAACAACACCAGACCGGCAAGCAGCUUGCAGAUGCAUCAAAAGUGCGGCCGCCGGCAUUACUGGCAUCAACUUUGGCCUUGCAAGCGGACUCCCAGGCAAGUGCGGUGUCAACAUCCCUUACAAGAUCAGCCCUAGCACUGACUGCAACAGGUUCGUAUGAGUUGUUUCAUUGCUUAUGCUUAUUAAUUGCUCAACAUUUAAUGUGGUGUUUCAUUUGCAGCGUCAAGUGAAGUUUUGGCAUGGAAAGUUCACCAGCUAGUGGAAGCCAAAAUAACGAUAGCUACAGAAUAAAUAUGGAUGUUAAAAUUCCAGAGUUAUGCGUUGUGUACUAUGCCGCUUUAUGCGACUACGUAAUAUAAUCUUUAUCUACAAAUUAGUAUCACUCAUGUCUCCAUUCCCCUUCUUUCAAGCAUUUUAUAUCAACAUUCACGUGAUCCAUAUUUCAUUCCUUAAAAAAAAAAAUUAAGAAAACAAAAAUUAUGAGAUUCACUCCAUAUAAAAAAAAUUCAAUGUGGCACAUAGGAAGUUUAUCGUUUCAUAAUACGAUACCCAUAAUUAAAAAGUUCAUUUAUAUUUGUAACUAGGGUUGAAAUCAUAAAAUUAUUUUUGUGUAAGUUUGAAUUUAUAUUUUACUAAAAAAUAAUCUUUAUUAAUUGUAAAACUUUAUAAAAGAAAAUAUGAGUUUACCUAACCGUAUAUCCCUAUAUGUUGCAUUGUGGGGUUAAAGUCUUUGCAUGAUAAAUCCAUUAUCUUCAUAUAUCUUGUAUUGUGGGGUUAAAGUCUUCGCACGAUAAAUCCAUUAUCUUAAAAUCUUAGAAGAAAAUGAGUGAAUGUUGGAAGUUUAUUCUUAAUGUAAUUCUAGAAACUAAUUUAAUUAUUAUUAUUAUUAUUAUUACAAAUUUGUGCCUUUGUAAAAUAAAUAUAUACUUCUAUUUUUAUUUUUACAAAAUACAAAUAUUAAAUUUUAAACCUUAUAAACUUUUAACCAUAAAUUUUUAAUCGUUAAACCUAAACCCCACCUCUAAUAUAAAAUCCUUUGUCCACAAACUGUUCCAAUCAUUUGGGAAAGAGAAAAUCAAACUGUAAGCCUACUAAUAAUAUAUCGUUAUGAUUAUUUAACAUUUGUUACUUGAUUUUGAUAUUUUUCUUAUAAUUUCAUACUUAAUUUUUUUUAUCCAAUUUCACACUUAAACCUUUUAAAUAUUAUACAAAUUACCUCAAAAUACUAAUGAUAUUAAUUUUUUUAUGAGGGAAAAGAAACAGCUAACGUAUGGUUGUCAUGUGACAAAUGAUAUGGAAUUUAAUGACAGGGAUGAUUACAUUUAUUUGAAGUUUUCUCUAUUUUUUUAAACAAUAUGUUCACAAUUUACAUUUCAUCAAGCCUGAGAUUACUUUGACAGUUAAUGGCAAGAGUGUUACAAGAGGAACCAUAUGCUUAAAGCAUGACCUAGUUUUCAUAAAGCCCUCAAGUCCCAUAAAAAUAGGAAAAUUAUGUUAAAAAAUUGUACCUACGCUUAAUAGAAUAUUGAAAAAUAAAAAAAUAAUUUUAAAACCCAAAAAUAAAAAGAAAUUCAUUAUUAAAUUAAAAAGGUAAAAUAAAAAAAUUAAUUAAACUAAAAGUAAUUCAACAAUUAAAAUACAAAAAAUCAAUCUCAUGUCAUCCGUCAUAUGUUAAUCAUACAUUGAUUAUAUUUGCACCUCAUAAAUAUAAAAUUAUUAUAUUGGAGUAAUUUGUAAAACCUUUAACAAGUUAGAUACCAAAUUGAAAAAAAGAAGAAGCUUAAGUGCUAAAUUAAAAAAUAUAUAUUAAGUUCGAGAAUUAAAUUGAAAAAAAAAGCAAGGGUACCAAAUAAGCUAAGACCCACACUCAACCCGACUCCUAUUAAAUAUCUCUUCGUCUCACUUCGGCAAGAGACAAAGGAUAUAUAGUUUACACUACUAAAAUUCAACUGUAUAUGUAAUAGGCCAAUUUUGGCCUGGCCUAGUUAAUAAAUAAAACCCAAACAAAUAAAUAAUAAAAGUCUAAAAUUUACAGUCCAUUUUUACAAACAUCAGGGCCCAAUUUACAACAUGCAUAGCCCAAAUAAAAAAAAACUACCCAAACCCAAUUACAAAGCCCAAAACAAAUCAACCCUAGCCCACUCAAAACAUUUCAGCAAAAAAAGUAAACCCUAGUCACAUGCCUUCAGCCGCCGCUUCUCCCACACGUUACCCUCGACCACUGCACGCACGUCUGUCACCGCCCUUCCGCACGUCUGACAUCUCUGACGACCUGCAACACGCAAGCGAAAGAAGCCAAGCAGAAGAACCAAGAAGAAACGACAAAAAAAAAGAGGAAGCAAACAGUUUAUGACACGACUAUAAAAGCCGAAAUAAGUCCUUUGUAAUUUUUUUAAGCAUACUAGAAAUAAAAAAGUAGAACAGAAGUUUCGAAAAGGUGUUAUUUUGAUCCUAUUCUUUUUGUCUCGAUUCAUUUUUCUAGUUUCCUUUUAUUUAUUCUUAACACGAAUCUAUUUUUAAAAUAAAAAAAACAAGGCAAAGAUUUCCAAAGGUGACCCUUUUUUUUAAAAUCUAAAAUUUUUCUACCUUUUUUGUUUUUUUAUUCUCAUUAUUUCUCACGAAAAAUAAAGAGAACAGAAAUGAAGGAUUUACUUGGGCUGUUUCGCACUCUGGUCGCCGAAAACUCCCUCUCCGGCGUCGAAAUCGUCUUAGGAAGAAGGUGACAAGGGCCUUUCUUUCGAUUUUCUGGUUAGGAAGGCUUUGCCUUCGGUUUCAUUUUCUUGAAAAAGGUUAAAAAGGCCGAAUUUAAGGGUAGCUCCGACCACCGUCCACGGCGGGGAGCGGAGGUCCGAUGACGUACGAUGAUGGGUUUUAUAAACCCUAGCAGAGAAAAUAAAUGGGAGGGGGGCUGCUUUCUAUUUUUUUUAAAAGAAAAAGAAGCAUGUAAUAGCCCAAUUUAGACCCUAAUCAGAAUGGUGGUUUCAGGACCACGAAUUCGAGUCAGAAAAAUAUUUAAAUAUUAUUUUUCGUGUUUAUUAUAUGUGAAUUUGCAUGUGUGAAAUUUUCGUGUAAAAAUUUGAUUGUUUGUGUGCUUAAUUUAAUAAAAGGACUUAAUCGCGUAAAUUAAAAACUUGAUAGUGAAAAGCAUAAGGGCCAAAUUGUUAAUGGCUUUGUAAGUUGAAGCAUUUAAGUGGCAAUUUGACCAUAUUUAGUUAGAUGGACGGUUGUGACCAUGCAUUAAAAUGGUUUUAUAUUUUUAUAUCUUAAGGUUAAUUUGGUAAAUUAUGAAUUAAUAAUGUUAUAAUAAAACAUAAAAAUAAAACCACCAUGCAUUUGUUCAUCUUUUUGACUGAAAGUUGUGAAAGAAAGAAAAGAAAAUAAGCUUGGUGAUAUUCAGCCAUUUCUCAAGCUUGAUUCAAGGUUAGUUUGGUUUCGGUUUUUGAUAAUUUUUACGUUUUUGAAAUUGUUACUUCGAAUACUAUCUGACCCAUGCUAGAAUUUUUGAUUUUGAUGAAUGUAUUGAGCUGUGCCAUUGAUGAAUAUUUGUGUUUUGUGAUGUUUGAUGAUGAAAUAUUAAAGAUAUGUUUUAGAUUAAUAUGUUUUGUAUUGGAAUUUUUGAUGAUUUUGAGUAAUUAGAACUAAAUUGUAAAAAUAAUAAAUUAAGGGACUAAAAUGUGAAAUAAACAAAAUUUGAGGACUUGUUUGGGUGUGGGGAGUAUUCGGCCUAAGUAUAACAUGAGAAAAUUAUGCUUGUUUUGUGUUUUAUGCAAAUAGGACUAAUUUGUAAAAGUAUGAAAUAUCAGGGGUAAAAUGGUAAUUUGCCCAUUUAUGUGUUGUUGGAUUAAAUUGAAUGAAAUUGUGUUUGAAUGAGAUAAAUUUGAAAUUUUAUAGAUCAAGAAUAAAAGAAAUCGGACUUGGAUCGAGGAAAAACAAAAAUAGUCGAAUAGUCGAUUUACAUCGUUCGUCGAUAUCCAAGGUAAGUCUUUAAGCAAUUAAACAUCAUUAAUUUUGAAUGUAAUUUAGUUUAAUAUACUGAUUCGGAAUUUAUGGAUUUGUAAUAGAGUUAGACGAAUGUGAAAAAGUAUAUAAAUAAUGUAUUUGAGUUUAACUCGAUUGAGUUAUAACAUUUGAAAGUCCGUAUGAACUAUAUGGAAUAUCUGAAAUGUUUGAUAUAUGAAAUGUUUAUGAGACAACUUUAUAAUAAUGAUAUUCGAGCUUUGAGCCUAGCAAGCCUUGUGUUGGUGAAUUUAAUCGGGCUUGACGCCCAGUAGGCUUAUUACCGUUGUAUAAAAUCAGACUUUGAGUCUAGCAGGCCUUGUGCAGAUGUGAUACAGGCUUAGGUCUAGCAGGUUUUAUACCGGUGAAAUAUUAUAAGUCUAUGCCUAAAAGAUUUUAUGUUGAUGUGAUAAAUGAAUAUGUUGAACGAGCUAAAACGAUCAGGUACGUGAUAGCUAGACUACCUAUUUGAAAACAAGAUGAAUUUAUUCCUUGAUAUGUGAUGAAAAAGAAUUCAUGAAUUUAAUGUAGUACAUGUGCUAAUGUGAGAAAUAUAUUUGAUCUUAUAAUUGUACAUGAAGGUAUUGUUAAACUUUGAGUGAUGAGUAUAUGUCUUAAAAUAUAUAUGUAUAUUCGAUUAUAUAAAUCAAUGUGGUUUCGAAUUUCUCAUAUGUAUAUUCGAUUAUAUAAAUCAAUGUGGUUUCGAAUUUGAGAACAUAUUGGUGCUAUAUACUUGUUUAUUCGGCCAAAAAGAAGUUGCCUUAUGAAAGUAUAUGUUUUAUAUGUGUGGAAUUAAAAGUUUGAAAAUAAAAGUGAUUAAAAAUGCAUAAGUUGAUUUAUUUAAUUGAAAUGAUUAGUAAUUAAAUGUUAUUAUGCUUUAAUUGUUUAAUUUGCUUAAGGAAUACUAAGCUAAGUUAGCUUACUUUGUGUAUAUAUAUAUUUGUCUUUGUUUUAUAGUUUUUGGAGAUCGUUACAUGCUCGGAGAUUGUCAGUAAAGUCAAUCGCACUAUUGUUUAUUCUCGGUACCUUUGAAAGUUUUAAAUUCAAACUUAUGGCAUGUAUAGGCUGAAUGAUGUUUUGUUAUGAUGAACUUUGGCUUUGUAUAAAGCCAUGCGAAAGUGGCUUAUUUAAAUGCUUGAAUUUGGUUUUGGUAUAAUGAUGGUUUGAGUCCAUUUUGGUUAUUAUGCAAUGUGUCAAGGAUGAAUGAUACUUGUGAUAUCUAUUUGAGUGUUGAAGAUGCUUGGUAAAUUUGGAUGUGUGCAUUGGAUUGAUUCGGUUAUGGUAUGGAAGAUUCAUGUUUUGUAUAUAUAUAAAUAUAUCUAUUUGAAGUUAAUGGUUUACUCUUGAGAGAUAUAAAAUGUAAUAUGAGUUGGUUUGAAAAUUAUACAAUGAUGUAUCGUGAAUUUAGAUAUAAGAUAAAGGUAUAUGAGGUGGUUAUGUCUAACUUGUGAUUCGACAAUUGCUUUUAUAAAUAUUCAUGCUUGAUGAAUUGACUUAAUAUGUAUUUCAACUAAAAGUAUACUAUGUAGUAGGUAGGUAAUAUGUAGGAUUAUUUGCGUCUUAGGCAAAGUUUAGAUGACCAAAUUGACGAUAAAUAGGUUAGUUGUAAAUCCGCAUUUUUGGUAUGUGACAUGAGUGCAUUUCAAAUCUUUACUUGCAAUAUAAAAUGGUUAACAAUAAAUAAGUAAUUGAGUUAAAUUUUAGUUUGUGAAUUAAGCUUGAUAAGUUUCGUUAUUAAUGUUCUAUUAUAGUUCAUGUUUAAUAUGGUUAAAAAAUAUAUAAGGUUUAUUUGUUUAAUGAAACAAUUUGAUUAUUUGUGAAGAUAUGAAUGUCGUGUAUGCUGAUGAUUAAAUUGUCAUGUGUUAGAUUUUUAUUUGAUUUAAUAUGUACAUGUUUCGAAAUAUGUUUUAAAAUAUUCGAUGUUUAACAGAUAUCCGAAUUUGACUUGUAUUUGUAUAUUGUAAUGAUAGAAUUUCGAUUAAUAUUUAUUUGGACAUUCGUAUAUACAUAUGAAUAUGACUUGUGUGAGUAUUCAGAGUUGUGUUUUUUUCCAGUAAUGCCUUCGAACCCUAAUUCAGCGACGGAUACGGGUUUGGGGUGUUACAUUUUAUUAGUAUCAGAGCUAUAGUUUAGUCGAUUCUAGGACUAAUGUAGCAUGUGUGAGUUUAGCUAUACAUGCCAUAGUGUUUACUGCGAUAAUGUGAUGACUUCUGACAUUGAAAAUGUGUUUUCGUAUUGUAAAUAAAUCCCGACAGAGCUGUAGUUGAUGAUGUCGAGAGUGUAGCACAUGCUCCUGCGCAUGAGACAGCACCAGUUGAAUCUCGGCUGAUCUCGAGUAGCCGUGAAGGGGAGGCUAAACAAGCCUUCUAUCAACUAACGAAUGAUUGGUUUACUCAAUAUAUUUGAACUAACCCGGCUACACAACAACCUCCAUCCCCGAAUAAUUCAUCUUCGAUACCUGUGGUUCCUCCUAUGAUUGAUUCGAUGAGAUUUAAUAAGCCUUCCGUUGAUAAAAUUAGAAAACACGGGGCUGAAGAAUUCAGAGCUACUGAUGAUGAUGAUGCUAAGCUAGCUAAAUUCUGGCUUGAUAAUACUAUCCGUGUGCUUGAUGAGUUAUCUUGUACCCCGGAUGAGUGCUUAAAAUGUGCUAUAUCCUUGCUACGAGACACCGCAUACCACUAGUGGAAUAUACUAGUAUCGGUGGUUCCGAAGGAGCGAGUGACUUGGGACUUCUUUUAGACUGAGUUUCGUAAGAAAUAUCUCAGUUAGAGAUUCAUUGACCAGAAGCACAAGGAAUUUCUCUAAUUAAAAUAGGGUCGCAUGACUGUGAUAGAAUAUGAGCGAAAAUUUGUGAGACUCAGUUGAUAUGCUCGUGAGUGUGUUUCAACUGAAGCUAUCAUGUGUAAAAGAUUUGAAAACGGUUUGAACGAAGACAUUAAAUUUCUGGUUGAUAGACUUGAAAUUAAAGAGUUCGUGGUACUUGUUGAGCGAGCUUGCAAAGCUGAAGAGCUCGGGAAAGAAAAAAGAAAAGCUGAUUUUGAAGCUAGAGAUUUUCGCAAAAGAUCAUUGGGUAAGACUUUUCAAUUAGCAUCGAAGAAGUUCUGAGAUGAUUCUAGUCAAUCUAAAGAUACUGCGAGCUUUUCUAGACGAGAUUGAGACUGACCCCCUGUGAGUUUGCGAGCCACUUCGAUAGUUAGUGUUGGCAAUGUUCGACAGAAUAGAGUCGAGUGCAAGCAUUGUGGUAAAUGGUAUUCUGGAGAUUGCAGAUUGCAUGACCGGUCUUGUUUUAAAUGUGGAUCGAUGGAUUAUUUUAUCCGAGAUUGCCCAAUGUUAGCGAGCAAAACACUGUUCAGAAUGCAAGACCGAGUAAUAUGUCAGUGCGAGGCAGACCACCUAGGCAUUCGGGUAAUGUAGGUGGCAGUCAGAUAGGGAUGAAAGAUACAGCAGUUCGAUCUGAGGCUCGUGCACCUACCAGAGCAUAUGCUAUACGUGCUCGUGAGGAGGCUUCUUCCCCAAAUGUUAUUACCGGUACUUUUACUCUUUAUGAUACUAGUGUUAUUACAUUGAUUGAUCCUGGUUCGACUCAUUCUUAUGUGUGUGAAACAUUAGUAUCCAGUAAGACUUUGCCUGUUGAGUCUACUGAGUUUGUGAUUCGAGUAUCGAACCCCCUAGGCCGGUGUGUUCUGGUUGAUAAAGUAUGUAAGAAUUGUCCAUUGAUGAUUUGAGAUUCAUGCUUUCCAGCCGAUUUGAUGUUAUUUCCUUUCGAUGAGUUCGAUAUAAUUUUGCGUCUGGACUGGCUGACUUUGCACGAUGCUGUUGUUAAUUACAAAAGAAAGACCAUUGAUUUGAGAUGUCAGAACAACGAGAUUACUCAGAUUGAAUCUAAUGAUCUGAAUGGUUUACUAGCAGUAAUAUCUUCGAUGUUAGCUCGGAAGUACGUGAGAAAAGGUUGUACAGCUUACUUUACUUAUGUGCUUGAUAGUAAAGUGAUUGAAAAAAAGAUUGAAUCUGUACUAGUUGUGUGCGAGUAUCCGGAUGUGUUUCCUAAAAAAUUACCAGGUUUGCCACCUGUCUGAGAGGUAGAUUUUAGUAUUGAGUUAGUACCGAGGACGUCUCCAAUUCCAAUAGCUCCGUAUCGGAUGGCACCUACUAAAUUAAAAAGAAUUGAAAGCUCAGUUACAAUAGUUAACAAAUAGAGGUUUUGGACGACCGAGUUUUUCUCCUUGGGGUGCACCAGUUUUAUUUGUGAAAAAGAAAGACGAAACUAUGAGAAUGUGCAUUGAUUAUAGACAGCUCAAUAAGGUGACUAUAAAGAAUAAGUAUCCGUUACCACGGAUUGAUGACUUGUUUAAUCAACUAAAAGGGGCUAAACUGUUUUCAAAGAUAGAUUUGAGGUCCGGCUACUAUCAGUUGCGAGUUUAAGACUCUGAUGUGCCGAAAACUGCCUUCCGAACGAGGUACGGACGUUAUGAAUUUCUGGUUAUGCCUUUUGGACUUACUAAUGCACCUACUAUUUUUAUGGAUUUGAUGAAUCAAAUUUUUAGACAUUAAUUGGAUCGGUUUGUGGUUGUGUUCAUUGAUGAUAUAUUGAUCUACUCCUGUGGUGAAACUGAACAUGCCGAACAUUUGAGACUUGUGUUACAGAAUUUGCAAGAAAAACAGUUGUAUGCGAAGUUCAGUAAAUGUGAGUUCUAGUUACAUGAAGUUAUUUUUUUGGGACAUGUUGUUUCAGCAUCAGGUAUUCGGGUUGAUCCAAGUAAAAUUUCAGCAAUACUUGACUGGAAACCUCCGAGAAACGUUUCUGAAGUCUGAAGUUUUUUGGGACUUACGGGUUACUAUAGGCGAUUUGUGAAAGAUUUCUCUAUGAUUGCAACCUCGAUGACGAAGCUAUUACAGAAAUAUGUUAAAUUUGAGUGGUCUGAAAAGUGCCAGAAAAGUUUUGAUCAGUUGAAAUUCCUUUUGACCGAAACUCCAGUGCUAGUUCAGCCAGAAUCGGGUAAAGAAUUUGUUAUCUAUAGUGAUGCAUCUUUAGAUGGUUUGGGUUGUGUACUGAUGCAAGAAGGCAAAGUUAUAGCUUAUGCCUUGAGACAGUUAAAGCUACAUGAAAAGAACUAUCUGACACACGACCUAGAGUUGGCAGCUAUUGUAUUUGCGUUGAAAAUUUGGCGUCACUAUCUGUUUGGUGAAAAAUGUCAUGUUUAUUCUGAUCACAAAAGCUUGAAGUACUUGAUGACUCAGAAAGAUCUGAAUUUGAGACAACACCGAUGGUUAGAAUUGCUAAAAGACUAUGAACUGGUGAUUGACUAUCACCCAGGAAAUUGACUAUCACCCGGGAAAGGCUAAUGUUGUUGCUAAUGCUCUAAAUCAAAAAUCCCUGUUUUCUUUGCGUGCAAUGAAUGCACAUAUGGUCAUGUCAAAUGAUGGUACGAUAAUAGCCGAGUUAAAAGUAAGACUGUUAUUUAUUCAGCAGAUUUACGAAGCUUAGAAGGUCGAUAAUGAUUUGAUAGUAAAGCGGGCUCAAUGUGAUUUGAACGUUGAUUCAGAAUUUCUAGUGGAUUCUGAGGGAUGUUUGCAAUUCAGAAACCGAAUAUGUGUUCUGAGAAAUACAGAGUUGAUUCAGAUGAUUUUGAAUGAAGCUCAUAACAGUCGGUUAUCUGUUCACUCGGGUAGUACGAAGAUGUGUAAUGAUCUGAAACAGCACUAUUAGUGGCAAGGUAUGAAACGAGACAUUUUUGACUUUGUAUCGAAAUGUUUAAUCUGUCAGAAAGUAAAAGCCGAGCGUCAGGUACCUUCUGGAUUGCUACAGCUGAUCAUGAUACCUGAAUGGAAAUGAGAUAGAGUCACGAUGGAUUUUGUAUCCGGUUUACCGAUGACAUUGAGCAAGAAAGAUGCAAUCUGGUUUAUUGUGGAUAGAUUGACUAAAUCAUCUCACUUUGUUUCAGUUUGUACAGAUUAUUCACUCGAUAAACUUGCUGAGUUAUAUGUUUCUCAGAUUGUGAGACUACACAGAGUACCUAUUUCUAUUGUGUCUGAUAGAGAUCUGAGGUUUACAUCGCGGUUUUGGAAGAGACUGCAAGAUGCAUUAGGUACUAAACUACAUUUUAGCACUACUUUUCAUCCCCAGAUAGAUGGUCAGUCUGAGCGAAUCAUUCAGAUACUUGAGGAUAUGUUGAGAUGUUGCAUUCUCGAGUUUGAAGGUACGUGGGAACAAUACCUACCUCUGAUUGAAUUUACGUACAAUAAUAGCUUUCAAUCGAGUAUCAAAAUGGCACCUUUCGAGGCUUUGUACAGUCAUAAAUGUCGUACACCAUUGUAUUGGACUGAGCUCAGUGAAAAUAAGAUAUCCAGGGUUGAUUUGGUCAGAGAAACUGAACAGAAAGUGAAAGUGAUUCAUGAAAGUUUAAAAGCAGCAUCAGAUCAUCAGAAAUCAUAUGCGGACUUGAAACGUAAAGAUAUAGAGUUUCAAAUCGGGGAUAGAGUAUUUUUGAAAGUCUCACCAUGGAAGAAAAUACUCAGAUUCAGUCAUAAAGGCAAGUUCAAUUAGAGAUUCAAUGGACCGUAUGAGAUUAUAGAGCGGAUUGGGCCGGUUGCGUAUAGACUAUUGUUGCCACCUGAGCUAGAAAUGAUCCACAAUGUAUUCCAUGUUUCAAUGCUUCGUAGAUAUCGAUCUGAUCCUUCACAUGUGAUUAGUCCAUCUGAGAUUGAGAUCAAGCCCGAUUUAAAGUAUGAAGAAGAACCGAUUCGUAUUCUAGCUCGUGAAAUUAAAGAGUUGCGAAAUAAUAAAAUUUCGUUAGUUAAAGUACUGUGGCAUAAACAUGGAGUUGAGGAAGCAACGUGGGAACCAGAAGAUGUAAAGAGAGAACGCUAUCCAAACCUAUUCACCGUUAAGAUUUUCGGGGACGAAAAUCCGUAAGAGGGGAGAGUUGUAACAACCCAAUUUAGACCCUAAUCAGAAUGGUGGUUUCAGGACCACGAAUUCGAGUCAGAAAAAUAUAUAAAUAUUAUUUUUCAUGUUUAUUAUAUGUGAAUUUGCAUGUGUGAAAGUUUCGUAUGAAAAUUUGAUUGUUUGUGUGCUUAAUUUAAUAAAAGGACUUAAUCGCGUAAAUUAAAAACUUGAUAGUGAAAAGCAUAAGGGCCAAAUUGUUAAUGGCUUUGUAAGUUGAAGCAUUUAAGUGGCAAUUUGACCAUAUUUAGUUAGAUGGACGGUUGUGACCAUGCAUUAAAAUGGUUUUAUAUUUUUUAUCUUAAGGUUAAUUUGGUAAAUUAUGAAUUAAUAAUGUUAUAAUAAAACAUAAAAAUAAAACCACCAUGCAUUUGUUCAUCUUUUUGACUGAAAGUUGUGAAAGAAAGAAAAGAAAAUAAGCUAGGUGAUAUUCAGCCAUUUCUCAAGCUUGAUUCAAGGUUAGUUUGGUUUCGGUUUUUGAUAAUUUUUACGUUUUUGAAAUUGUUACUUCGAAUACUAUCUGACCCAUGCUAGAAUUUUUGAUUUUGAUGAAUGUAUUGAGCUGUGCCAUUGAUGAAUAUUUGUGUUUUGUGAUGUUUGAUGAUGAAAUAUUAAAGAUAUGUUUUAGAUUAACAUGCUUUGUAUUGGAGUUUUUGAUGAUUUUGAGUAAUUAGGACUAAAUUGUAAAAAUAAUAAAUUAAGGGACUAAAAUGUGAAAUAAAUGAAAUGUGAGGACUUGUUUGGGUGUGGGGAGUAUUCAGCUUAAGUAUAGCAUGAGCAAAUUAUGCUUGUUUUGUGUUUUAUGCAAAUAGGACUAAUUUGUAAAAGUAUGAAAUAUUAGGGGUAAAAUGGUAAUUUUUCCAUUUAUGUGUUGUUGGAUUAAAUUGAAUGAAAUUGUUUUGAAAUUUUAUAGAUCAAGAACAAAAGAAAUCGGACUUGGAUCGAGGAAAAACAAAAAUAGUCGAAUAGUCGAUUUACAUCGUUCGUCGAUAUCCGAGGUAAGUCUUUAAGCAAUUAAACAUCGUUAAUUUUGAAUGUAAUUUAGUUUAAUAUGCUGAUUUGGAAUUUAUGGAUUUGUAAUAGAGUUAGCCGAAUGUGAUAAAGUAUUUAAAUAAUGUAUUUGAGUUUAACUCGAUUGAGUUAUAACAUUUGAAAGUCCGUAUGAACUAUAUGGAAUAUCUGAAAUGUUUGAUAUAUGAAUUGUUUAUGAGACAACUUUAUAAUAAUGAUAUUCGGGCUUUGAGCCUAGCAAUCCUUGUGCUGGUGAAUUUAAUCGGGCUUGAUGCCUAGCAGGCUUAUUACCGGUGUAUAAAAUCAGACUUUGAGUCUAGCAGGCCUUGUGCCAGUUGUGAUACAGGCUUAGGCCUAGUAGGUUUUAUGUCGAUGAAAUAUUUUAAGUCUAUACCUAAAAGAUUUUAUGUUGAUGUGAUAAAUGAAUAUGUUGAACGAGCUAAAACGAUCAGGUACGUGAUAGUUGGACUACCUAUUUGAAAACAGGAUGAAUUGAUUUCUUGAUAUGUGAUGAAAAAGAAUUCAUGAAUUUAAUGUAGUACAUGUGCUAACGUGAGAAAUAUAUUUGAUCUUAUAAUUGUACAUGAAGGUAUUGUUAAACUUUGAGUGAUGAGUAUAUGUCUUAAAAUAUAUAUGUAAAUUCGAUUAUAUAAAUCAAUGUGGUUUCGAAAUUUGAGAACAUAUUGGUGCUAUAUACUUGUUUAUUCGGCCAAAAAGAAGUUUCCUUAUGAAAGUAUAUGUUUUAUAUGUGUGGAAUUAAAAGUUUGAAAAUAAAGGUGAUUAAAAAUGCAUAAGUUGAUUUAUUUAAUUGAAAUGAUUAGUAAUUAAAUGUUAUUAUGCUUGAAUUGUUUAAUUUGCUUAAGGAAUACUAAGCUAAGUUAGCUUACUUUGUGUAUAUAUAUAUAUUUGUCUUUGUUUUAUAGAUUUUGGAGAUCGUUACAUGCUUGGGGAUCGUCAGUAAAGUCAAUCGUACUAUCGUUUAUUCUCGAUCCCUUUGAAAGUUUUAAAUUCAAACUUAUGGCAUGUAUAGGCUGAAUGAUGUUUUGUUAUGAUGAACUUUGGCUUUGUAUAAAGCCAUGCGAAAAUGGCUUAUUUAAAUUCUUGAAUUUGGUUUUGGUAUAAUGAUGGUUUGAGUCAAUUUUAGUUAUUAUGCAAUGUGUCAAGGAUGAAUGAUACUUGUGAUAUCUAUUUGAGUGUUGAAGAUGCUUGGUAAAUUUGGAUGUGUGCAUUGGAUUGAUUCGGUUAUGGUAUGGAAGAUUCAUGUUUUGUAUAUAUAUAAAUAUAUCUAUUUGAAGUUAAUGGUUUACUCUUGAGAGAUAUAAAAUGUAAUAUGAGUUGGUUUGAAAAUUAUACAAUGAUGUAUCGUGAAUUCAGAUAUAAGAUAAAGGUAUAUGAGGUGGUUAUGUCUAACUUGUGAUUCGGCAAUUGCUUUUAUAAAUAUUCAUGCUUGAUGAAUUGACUUAAUAUGUAUUUCAACUAAAAGUAUACUAUGUAAUAGGUAGGUAAUAUGUAAGAUUAUUUUCGUUUUAGGCAAAGUUUAGAUGACCAAAUUGACGAUAAAUAGGUUAGUUGUAUAUCCGCAUUUUUGGUAAGUGACAUGAGUGCAUUUCAAAUCUUUACUUGCAAUAUAAAAUGGUUAACAAUAAAUAAAUGAUUGAGUUAAAUUUUAGUUUGUGAAUUAAGCUUGAUAAGUUUCGUUAUUAAUGUUCUAUUAUAGUUCAUGUUUAAUAUGGUUAAAAUAUAUAUAAGGUUUAUUUGUUUAAUGAAACAAAUUUGAUUAUUUGUGAAGAUAUGAAUGCCGUGUAUGCUGAUGAUUAAAUUGUCAUGUGUUAGAUUUUUAUUUGAUUUAAUAUGUACAUGUUUUGAAAUAUGUCUUAAAAUAUUUGAUGUUUAACAGAUAUCUGAAUUUGACUUGCAUUUGUAUAUUGUAAUGAUAGAAUUUCGAUUAAUAUUUGUUUGAAAAUUUGUAUAUACAUAUGAAUAUGACUUGUGUGAGUACUUAGAGUUGUGUUUUUGUCCAGUAAUGCCUCUUGACCCUAAUUCGUCGACGGAUACGGGCUAGGGGUCUUACAAAGUAAAUGGCAAAAAAUAAAAAAAUAAAAAACUGGUUUAAAUAGCAAGGCAAAACAGUGCUGUUUUGCACCUAAAGCCCUAACACCAAAACGGCGUCGUAUAUGCCUUGACCCGCGCGAUCCGACCUGCUCCAAGGGGGUUUUGCGCGUUUUUGAGUUAAGGACUACUUGCGCUCGUAGUCCCUUCGAUUUUGGGUUUGUUAUGUUUGGCCCUUUUAUUAUUUUUAUUUUUUUUAUAGAUUUAAUUGCUUAAUUUUAUUUGGUUUUCGAUUGAGUCCUUGGCUCUCUAAUGCUUUGAAAACGGACAUGCAUCCUUAGAGUUAGGGAAUAAUUACAUAUUUAACCCCUGUUCUUUCGCGCGUGUCUUAUCUUAGGCCUUGCUUCCUUUUUUUUGUUUUUUUUAGAUGUGGCCCUUAAUUUUAAUCUUUUUUUUAGUUCGACCCUUAACCCUAUAACAUUAAACUUUUUUUUUAUAUUUUACUUAUUAUAUUUUUUUCAUUUAUUUAUUUUAAACAGUUUUAUAUGUUAUUUAUUUUAGAUUUUUAUAUAUUAAUUCUUUAAACUGUCUUAUGUAUUAUGUAUUUAAAAUUGCUUUACAAAAUUUUUUUAUUUUAAACUUACUUAUUUUAUUUAUUUUUUAAUGCUUUCAUAUAUCGUUUAUUAACCUUUUAUACAUUAUUUACUUUAGAUAUUUUUAUAUAAAUUAUUUAUUUUAAACUAUUAUAUAUUUUAAAUUUUCAUUUAAACUAUUAUAUAUUUUAAAUUUUCAUGUAUAAUAUUCAAUUCAAACUAUUUUAUAGGUUAUUCAUUUAAAAUUUUUGUAUUACUUAUUUUAAGUUGUUUUAUUAUUAUAUAUUUUAAAUUUUUCUUUUUUUAUACAUUAUUUAUUCGAAACUGUUUAUAUAUUAAUUACUUUAAGUCGUUUCAUUUAUUAUACAUUUUAAACCUUUUUUUAUAUAUUAUUUAUUUAAAACUGUCUUAUUAUUUAUUUUAAAUUAUUUUAUAUUAUUUAUUUCAUUUUUCUUUGAUUAUUAAUGUUGGUUUUCUAAAUAAUGUAUGUUAUCUGAUUAUUACCAUUGUGUGAAUACUGUCAUCAUAUGCUUUAGGAAUUAUUUAUUAAUAUUUUCAUGUUGUUGACAUUCAUUGACAUAGCAUUUAAUUCAUGUAUUAUUAUUUCAUGCUCUAUAUUCCCUUUUAUUUCAUUUUGUUUAAAUCAUAUCGCGUAUUAACCUCAAAUGUAUUUAUCCAAAUAUGGACCAUUUUAUUCCAAACAAAAUAAACGCCCAUUGCUAAGUGUUGCUCUUGUUAUUAUUCAAAAAGGAAAAUCUUCAAAAUAAGAUAAUAUUUCGCGUUUCGGGAAUUCAAGAAAUUGUACCCUAACUUACGGGGUUUCGAUUUUCUUGGUAAACCUAAAAAGCUAAAUAUCCUUUUUAGAUUUCAAAAUACGCAAAGUUCUCAAUAAAAAUUAAAUGCAAACUUAUUCCCGAGGAUUAAAACGUCGCAUCUUAACUUACGGGAUGUGACAUUUUGUUAUAUCGGGAUGAGAGGGCCUUUGAUGCUCAUUUUAACUUAAUUCAAGCAUUUUUCAAAACAAACAUUAAUAAAAAUGGAUUGUAUUUUAAUUCUUUUCAAGUUUGCAACAUUUGACAUUAGGACAUUAAUCAAUCAAUUAGGUACCAAAUUUGGGCAUUACGAGGGUGCUAAUCAUUCUUUGUACGUAACCGACUCCCGAACCCGUUAUCUCAAAUUUCUUAGACCAAAAAAUAUUAUUUUAAUAAAUCAAAACUGUUUAUUAAAAACAACCAUUUUACGAGGUGACUUGAUCACACCUCAUCAAAAAAAGAUUGGUGGCGACUCUAUUUUCGUUUUUUUUAAAAAGUUGACUCUUUUUCGAAAAAUGAUUUCAACCGCUUGGCGACUCCACUGGGGACUUUUGAGAGUCAAGCCAUAAAUUGAUUAAUUAUUGUCUUUUGUCAAAAAAUUGAAAAUCCGUUUUAAACUUACAAUCCUUUCAUUGCAUUUCAUUUUUGGGGUUUUCGUCGUUUUGUAUGAUUGGCUUUUGGUUCGAGUCUUAGUAUAAUUUUGCGCAUCAUAUUGCAUAAUUGGUCAAUUUUACCCUUUUAAGUAGGAGUGAGAAACUAUUCCUUCGUGAGGUCUUCACCUCCGUAUAGGAUAGUAGAUUGCUUUUGGGAUACAUCCGUACUUGCACCUUCGUGAGAUUUUUAUCUCCGUAUAGCCGUAGGGAAAUGUAUUCCCCUGAACUGAACUCGGUCCGUAUGAGCCUAUAAUGGGUGAGGAUCGAGGAAUCUUCUGAUUCAGGUACCUUUACUUUUGAACUAAACCACAUGUAAUGAGCCCUAAGAGCCUAUCCUAGGUAGAACCACGCUAAACCCUAGCGGUUACCCGAAUAGGUGCUUGAUUAUUUCCUAUUUGCUUUGAAUUUUAUUUUUUGUAUAUAAUACUGACUUGUUGUGUUUUUCUGUUAUUGCAUGGCAUUACAUUAUAAAAAGGUGUUGAUUCAAAAAGCUUAGCAUUGAAAAGGGGUUUCUUGAUAGAGUGGAGGAUAAUGCGGUCGUCCGAAUAUGGUCCGAGAGGAUGCAGCAAGAGAAAUGUGAUAGUUUGACCGAGGGAUAUGAAUCAGAGUUGUCAAAUUUCACCCGCAUUAGUGUGACUUAGAAUAACCUACAAGAAUUAAAGAAGAUAUGACACCAAUGGAGUGACGAGAUUAAGCAGCUAUUUUACUAUAACUACGGCGACUUGCCCUAUCUACUCGAUAUAAAGGUGGACAAGCAUUUAUUCCAAGCCCUUGCCCAGUUUUGGAAUCCCGCCUACAGUUGCUUCACUUUUGGGAGAGUUGAUUUGGUACCAACCGUGGAGGAGUACAUGGCCUUACUUCGUUGCCUGAGGAUUAAAGCUGACAAAGCUUAUUCCAGAGCUGCUAACGUCCCUACCUUUGUAAAGAAUUGAUGAAUAUCAUGAGGAUGAGUGAGCAGUGGGUUGCAGCUUGGAUUAAGCAAAAAUGAGACAGUAAAUGUAUUCCUUGGAAGAACUUGAGAGAUCUAAUUCUAGCACAUCCGGAUAUGAAGAAGAGGGUUGACGUUUUCGCUUUGAGCAUCUAAGGUUUGGUCAUCUUUCCCAAGGCAUUAGGAAAUGUAGAUGAAGCAGUCUCAGACCUAUUCGAUCGACUUGAUAAAAAGGUCACACCCAUCCCUGCGAUCUUAGACGAAACUUUCAAAUCAUUGAAUGCUUGCCGGAGAGCAGGUGAGGGGAGGUUCAUAGGAUGUGCGCAGCUUUUGCUAUCAUGGUUUCAUAUCCACUUUUGGAGGGUAGAAAAAGUCUCAUAUCGAGUUUUUUUCGAAACUACUCUCCAUUGAAGGAACUAGUGGCUACGCUAAGGCGAGAUGACUUUUCCAAAGAGAAAUGGAUAGCGAUUCUCUAGAAUGUACAAGUUGAAGACGGCGAAUGGAGGGCGCCAUGGAUGAUCCCUGAUGAGAUCUUGUAUCGGUGUGGUGAAUUUGACUGGGUCCCUCUACUUGGGAUAUGGGGAGCUACUGGAUACGGUCUACUACUUGUGCUAAGAUAGUAUCGAUCAAGGCAGUUCAUACCUAUGACACAAGGGUUGGCUCAGUGCAAGUUUUCAUAUAAGAGCGAUAAUUAUAAGAAGAGAGUUCGUGAGAUAUCGAAUGCGUGGAACCAAACCCGUAGACUGAAGGACUCAGGCGAGACCAAUGACGACCCCCGAGUAUGAUUGGUGGUGGGGUAAAAGAAUCAACGACAAUAUCCCAAUGCCAAGUCAAAAAAAUGCUCGACCAAUAGAGGAGCACUUACGAGUAGUCCCGUUUGAAUUAGAAAUCAUCAAGCAAGAUUUUGAGAAAAGGAGUCAAAAAUUGGGCAAGAAAAUAAAGCAGUUAGAGGAGGAAAAGAUGUGGCUAGGACUAGACAUCGACAUCCAUAAGCUAGAGGCUGAGAAACUAAGGAAAGGAAAGAACAAGGCCAAAGAAGAUUUGGACAGUUGGAAAACGUAUUACAAGAAGUUACGUUUGUCAAAAAGAACUGCUGGUUUGGGCAAGACAUUAGAGCAAUGGCAAUAAGAAAUUAAAAAAGAAAAAACUAGAGCCGAUAGUGGGAGAAGAAGUUUCAAGAUGCUCAAACACGGGAUGGUGCUCUAAAAAGGAGUUUGCUAGAUAGCCAAAGUGAAAAGGAGAAGUUAAGAGCUCGGGCGGCAAAGUUAGAAAAGUAAUUACAUCAACAUCGUAGUCGCAACUCCAUCAUCGAAUUAAGGGCCAGCCUAAACAAGAUUGAGGAGUUGAAAGGAAGGAUAGAAGAGCUCGAGAAUGCACUGCGAAAUGGUAAACUUCGAGUUGAACUUCUUGAAGCAAGUAAUGAACAUUGUAAAGAACAACUCCACCGCUCUUAAGAUCAAAUCAGAGAUAGGGAUUAUGUCAUGGGUGAAGCUGUGGCUCAAGUACGAGAAGUGCUGACCAUCUACAAAACCUGGCGGUUCAGGCUAAUGUACUAAGUGUAAAGUAUGAGUUAGAAUCAGGUCAGGGCCGAGAGUUAGCUUGGCUUCUUAGGAAGGUUAAGGCUUUGGGCAUUAGGGCAAAGUCGUAUAUGUAAUCUAUCUUAUGUAAAGAAAUUUGUUUUCUAGCAAAGUUGUUCUAAUAAAAUUGAAUCAGAAUCAACGUCUCUUUUUGUUUUCAUUUCUUUAAUUUGCAUUACAUUUCAUCAUAUGCAUUAAGUUUCAUAAAAAGACCCUAAUUAAACAAAAUUAUUUCAGUUAAUCUGGAAACCAAAAAGUGUCAACCAGCCGAAUAUCGUUACAAUACCCGUCGCAAAACCAAAGCAAAGUAUCAGAGAUUAGAAAGAUUGGAACAAAUGCAAAGAGAUAUACAAUAGCAAUUGCAAACACAGAUGCAAGAGCAAUUGGCUAGAAUCGAACAAGACAUGAGGGAACAAAUGCAAGAAUCCCAGAAUAAUAUGAUAAGUCAAUUGGCACAGUUGCUGGUUAGAGAACGCGAAAAAGGGAAGGGUAUUGCAGUUAACUCGGGGAACGAUAAUGAAAACCUUGCCUAUCCCUCGGGUUUUGCUCCAGUCAAUUGCCAACCACAACCAGAGGCGUACCCACGGGGGGUACCACUCAUUAUCAAGCCCCAGUAAUAUCAGGCUGGUGCCUCGACACCGAUGAACUUUCCAACAGGCUCGGGCUCCAAUCCAAGGGAUAAUCCAACUAAUCCAGUUGUUUCUAACCUUGAUGAUGUAGCAGAAAUAGAAAAAGUAAGAGUAGAUCUACCAAAACAACUCGAGGACUGUUGCAAAUGGCUUGAAGAGAAAUUCAAAGCAAUGGAGACUGUUGACUACCAUUGCGGGGUUGAUGCCAAAGAUUUGAGCUUGGUCCUAGAUUUGAUCCUCCCACCAAAAUUUAAAACUCUAGAGUUUGAAAAAUACAACGAGACUAGCUGCCCCGAAGCCCACAUCACAUUAUUCUGUCAAAGGAUGACAGGAUACAUUAAUAAUGAUCAGUUAUUAAUUCACUACUUCCAGGAUAGUCUGGUUGGGUCUGCGGCCAAAUGGUACAACCAGCUAAGCCGUACCCAAAUUAAUUCAUGGAAAGACUUGGCACAAGCUUUCAUGAAGCAAUACGGCCACGUAACAGACAUAGCACCUAACCAAAUCACGUUACAAAAUAUGGAAAAGAAACCAAAUGAGAGCUUCAGGUAGUAUGCCUAAAGAUAGAGAGAGAUAGCGAUGCAAAUCCAACCACCUUUCUUA
This 85846-nucleotide long non-coding RNA is filed under the name Gossypium barbadense (sea-island cotton). Its description in RNAcentral is "long non-coding RNA (GBAR_LNC009387)". The stretch from base 14478 to 14583 matches the Rfam family "Plant small nucleolar RNA R71". The record is from RNAcentral. Lineage: Eukaryota; Viridiplantae; Streptophyta; Magnoliopsida; Malvales; Malvaceae.